AUUUUAGUAUAUGCGGUUAUAAAUUAAAUUUUUUAUAUGAAAUUUUCAGGUAAUAACUGGUCAGAGGGUCUUCGGCUUCCUCCGUUUGGCAGUAUUGCUGAUGAUGAUGUCAUGAACGACAAUCUUGAUUUUCUUAAUGUCCCCCAAUAUGGAAGAAACCCCGACUACAUGGGUUAAGUGCAGCACUGCUUUUUUUUUUUUUCUGUUUUGUUUAAUUAAAUAAAUGAUAGGUAUACUAUUACCUAUCAAUCAUGACAAUGUUUUAGUAUGGUUUAGUUCAACUUAUAAGAUUUCUUGAGACGUACAAGCAAUCUUUUUGUUUACUUUUGAGCUAAGUAUUUUCCUGAAAAAGGAAAUAAAUCAAUAAAAGUUAUUGUGUGUGUCAACAUAUUGGUUCUAUUAGUUUAUACACGUCGGUUUUAAUUACGAUCUCUCUUCCUAAAUGUUGUACUUUUUUUUGAAAUAAACUCAAAACUUUGUUGUAUAAAAAACUCUUAUCACUUUCAAUCAUAUGAUGGUUACAAUUUAAUCAUUUAUUCAUAACAUCCUCCUGGUCCUCCAUUGAGGAUAUUAAAGUGUGCCAUUCUGUAACCCAGAACUAUCAUUUCUUCCACCUCUACGAUAUCUUGUAAUGUUACUUGCAGCUUCAUAAGCCACAGAAACAUCAUCAAAAUCAACAAAUUGUUUUUUUUUUUUUUUAGGAAAGUAAUAAGAAAAAUAAAAGCUGCAUUAUUUUAUUGGCCACAUUGGACUCCUAGGCCGGGUAAUCUUGUCAUCUCUACUCGUAGAGUCUUCUCCCAUGGUACUUGCAUGGUUCCAUCUUUUAACUCUAGUAGUAUUUUGUUUGGAAAAUACCCCAAUAUAAUAUCUUCAUUCAAGAAAAUUGAGGACUGAAUUUGUGGUGCUUUUAUCAUAUUAAAUUACAUUUAAUUAUCAAUAUUUAUUGACUGAAAUCAGAAGGGUGUUUGAAUCAGAUAUGAAUUCUCUCUUAAUCAAUUUUUUUUUCUAAAUUUUGUAAGAUAUUAUGGCAGAUUUCAUUUAAAUUGUUUUAUAGUUAGGAUUUAAUUUAUUUUGGGCUUUCCUUAUUGUUUGAAUCCGAUGAAUUUCAUAUCAUCUUGCUGGUGCUUCUUCUGAUCUUCUUCUCCCUCCCUCUCUCUCACUUUUUUUCUUCUCUCUCACAGACCUAAAACUUUGACGAGCAAAUUUGAAAACGAAAUAUCAGGACGGAAAAGCCUCAACAUAUUAAAAAAUUCGGAUAAUUUAACUCUCGUAGCAUUGAUGAAUUUUGGUGUUCUGAUGCGAUUCAAGUUUCUCAUAGAGCCAAAAAAUGGCAAUUCAAGCCAAUUUUUUUAUCCAUCAAUUGAAAUACAUGUUACAUAUGCAGCAGCCCGUAAUCGAAAAUAACUUAAUUUGUUUUAAAAAUUCUUUAUGUUAGACUAGAAAUGAAUCCAUUCUUGUUAUUGCGUAUCUGCAAUUUAACUUAUGCUGCUAGUUUACAAUUUAUUUUAUUCACAUAAAUGAUCGUUCCUUUUUCUUAUUCUCAAUUAAAUUUUGGUUCCUAGAAUGAUAGUUAAAAAAAUUAACAAUAAUAAUCGAUGUCGCAGAUCAAUUAUCAAAGUUUGUUUGUGUGAACAAGAAAUAUGAGAAAAAGUUUGUUAGUUAAUUGUCUCUUAGUUUUAGAAUUUUGAUUAACCAAUAAAACAACGUAUUUUAUUGUUUAAUAAAACAAGUUCAAAGUAAAUUCAAUCCUAGUCAUAUUUUGAUAUUUUUAUUACAUCGCAAUUAAAUUUAAGACAAACCACAUUUCGGCAAUUAAAUUUAAGACAAGCCACAUUCUCCACAUGAAAUAUUUUUGUCGCGUCGUGAUUAAAUGAUUGAGUCUCACGUAGAAGUCUGUCACUAACCAUAUAUUUUUAUAAAUUUAUCAACACAAAAAGAAAAAAAAAAUGAAGUAUUUGAAAUUUAUCUGGGGCUAAGCAGUAACAUUGGAUGUUGCCUCGGAUGUCCUAUAUCAAGGGCCCGAUUAAUAAAAUUUUGGGCCCUAGGCAAAAUUUCUAAAUUAGCCCUUUUUAUUUAAAUGAAAGUUAAUGUGAGAUUAAUUUAAAUUUUUACGAUUAAUAUGAAUAAUUUAUUUUUUUAGAUAUAAUUCCUUUACAUAGUUUGUAUCUGUAUUAUUUCAAAGAUUUUUUUGGGUUAUGUUUAAGCAGGCUUAUUUUUGAGAGAUUAUGAAGAAUAAGAGAUUGUGUUUCAAUUGGAAAUAACAAAAAUUUCGUUGCAUAAUUUUUUUUAAGCAUUAAAGAAAUAAGUUAUUGACGGAAAUUUCACUUUCAACAUAGAGAAUAUCCAACAUUUUAAACAAGAAAAUAAAUAAAUUCUGAUUUUUUAACUGAACUAUAUAUUGAGGUGGGGCCAAAAUUUUUGGAGAGCAAAUAUAAUAACUCAAUUUCUAAAUAAUGAAUAAUGACUCAAUUUCUAAAUAAUGAAGUAAAACAUAAAUUAGGGUUUUAGUAGGAAAGUAUAUUAGAUGGGACCUUGAUUUUAGGGGAAGGCAUAGGCAGUUGCCUAAAGAGUAGAGCUUCUAACACCCCUUUUAAACUUGUAACAAACCCCAAUUUUUUGUUUUUUUAAGUCUCUUUCUUUUAUGAAAAAUACAGAAAAGGACAUAAAGUUAUAAUGAAAUUUUAAUUGAACUUCACUACUGUAUAGAAUACAUUUUGUAAACAAAUUUUUCAUAAUAAAUUUUUUAAUAAAUAAUUUAUUUCUUUGUUAUUUUGUUUUUAUCAGCAAAUUAAUUAUAAUAUCAUAGGAUUAGCAAAUAGUCAAGAUUCAAGAUUUGUUAAGCUAUUUUAAUGUAAUCAAAUUCAUAUUUUUCCUUUUAGUAAUUCUUAGUAAUAAUAGAACUAUUAUUUUAAAAGUAGGGUGAUGCAAGAAUAUUAAAACGGUGUGAAAAGCAUUACUCUUGCCUAAAUUAUUCCAAGGUUGAACCGGCGUGUCUAAUUACCACCCUCUAGAGAAAGGGGAAAUUUUUUUUCCGAAGACAACCAUGUUUUGGGUAUUUCUACCGACACUCUACAAAAUAAAUGCUGGAAGAAAAUUAAUACUCUAUUAAUUGUUAGGGACAAAUCACACUUCCGUUGAGAAUAGACCUUCAGUUAAGUAUACCGGUUUCGACAUCCCUCGACUCUUGAGCUUUUCUUUGAAUAUAAGUUGGGUUCGUGGGUUUUUAUAUAAUAUCAGAGUUAGAAUCGUACAUAAGUGAGUCCACACUACCUUACCACAUCGAUUGAGAAUAAAUAUUGAGUUCAAUAUUAAACCUUCAACCACAAGGAUAAAACUAAUUAAGGCCCUUGAGGGGCUUCAAUACAUCCUCAACUAUUAAAUUCAUGGAAAUUCAUAUUAAUUUAAUGGAGUUGAACUUUUGGCACCCCUUUGAAUAUGUCUUAAAACACAUUUUCUUUACUUAUCCCAUUAAAAUUGUAUAAAGAUUGCACACUUUCUCAUGAAAUCCCUAUGAUUCUAAAAAUAACCCUGAUUUCUUGUUAAAUAAACACCAAUGCAGAUGCGGCAAUAAAAUAGUUAAUUUAAAAAAAAAUCCCUAUCUGAGAGACAGAAAGCUAGAGGAUUUCAAUAUGGAAUAUUUAUGAUCAAUAGAAGAAUUCAAGUGACUGGAGAAAAUUCAGAUUGUUCAAAAUGGGUUCUCAAACGAGAUAAGCCUCAGGUAGUAGACCUCACCAACAUCAGUACCAGACUCAAUCCAUAGAAUCGGUCUCGUCUUAAGCCUAACAGCUCCCUUUUAAUAUAAUCUAGUGAGAACGGUGAGGUGCUUGGUAUAUCAUACACCAAAAAUCAACGAUGCUUGGACUUUCAAGAAAAAGAGAAAAACAAAUGCAUGCAGGGGGAAACGUACUAAUUAAAAGCAAAUCAUAUAAUUUACAAAUUAUUAUAGGCUUGUAGCCAUAAGAUCGAGAGAAACUAAAACAUUUCUUGCAUUUUCUGGCCAUAUUUUCUAAAUGAAGGGAUGGUCCAUUGCUGCUCUGCCAUACUGGAUCUCAAGAUGUCAUUAACAAUAGGUCUCAAGAUGUCGCUAACAAGGUGUCACUCUGAUACCGACAGGUCUACCACUUAGACAUAACACUUGCCAUAUAAAAUUUUCUCCUAUUUUUGCUAUUUCCUUCGUAUCUUGCAUUGAAUUAUUGCCAGCAAAUGAUAUUUCGAGUCAAAAAAGUAUAUUCAAUUAUUGCAUAUAUGCUCCUAGGUAAUUUGCACAAUUGAAUUAUAGCUGUUAAUCUACUUAUUUACACAAAUGAUUAAUUGUACGCAUCCAUUGCAAGACUUUCGCACUAGGUUUCAAUUUCAACCACAAAUCCUACCUCUAGAUAAAAAUGAUGUGGUCGUAGAGAUUUCGAAUGUAUUCACUUUGUGAUUAACGGAAGCAUUGCUUUCAUUUGUAAGACGUUAAAUCAUCAUUUUGGUAAAGGAAAAAGAAUGAAAAAAGCUGCACUAUUUUAAAGGCCAUUUGGUAUAUGACCACUUCCCAUUGGACUUGGAGACCGGGUAAUUUUGUCAUCUCCACUCCUAGAAUCUGCUCUCAUGCUACUUGCAUGGUUCCAUCUUUGAAGUCUGGUACUGUUUUGUUUGGAAAAUACCCCACUAUAAUAUCUUCACGAAGAAAAUUGAUCCCCGUUAACUAGCGUGAUUAGCUUAGUUUCUUAAAUUCAACGUUCGUUUGGUUAAUUGUCUGUUAGUUUUAGAAUUUUGAUUAGCCAAUAAAACAAUGAGUUUUAUUGUUUGAUAAGGCAAGUUGAAAUAAAUUCAAUCCUACUCACAGAAAAAUUUAAAUGACACAUAUCAUAAUCUUUUUCAUAUCUUCAGAAAAAUUAAAUCAUAAGAGGAUCAUGAACAAUUUGAUGAUGCUCUGAAAUAUAGUCUUCUGUUUUUCAAGGAAAAAAUAAGGAAGUUAAAAACAUGUUUAUCAGGUUUUUCAGAGAUCAUUUUGACGUUUUUGUUUAAAAACAUGAAAAUUGUUCUUAUUCUCGUAAACCAGAAAAAAUUAUCUGGCCGGUUAGCUAAUUAUUCUUGUUCUUCUGUUCUUUUUUAUUUGAAUUGUUUCUCCCUUUUCCAUUCAUUUUUCACUAUGAAAUUAAUUACUAAUUAAUCUACAGUUAGUUUCUUUACAGCUAAUAGGAACGUGAUUUAUGCCCGAAGACUCGCAUCUUUUUGAUUCAUUAUCUACAGUGCCUCACCUCCAAUCUAUGUAUAGGCGGACAUGCAUAUUUAUUAUAUCAAAUAAGUUAUUGAUGGAAAUUUCACUUUCGAAAUAGAGAAUUAUCCUUAAUUAAAUCUUUGUGGGCCUAAAUUCGAGUAAGAUUUAAUGAUGUAUGAUUCAAAAUUAUUGAAAUCGGACAUUUUAAACAAGAAAAAAAUAAAAAAUCUUGUUCUCUUUUUUAAAUAAUAAAUUUCAUUUUGAUGGAUUUUUAAUAUUAAAUUAGACAUUUGCUAAAUUGGCUCAAAUAUAAUAGAUCUUAGACCUUGCUUUUAAUGGAUUUAAUUAGGUUUUGGGCAUUUAAAUUAUACAACUGGAGACAGAAUUUAUAAAUAGAUAAGAUUCUAAUGUGAUUUUAAAAUAAUUUUGAACUUGAACUUGAACUUGAUGCAUUUAAUUAAUCCAGAAAGGUAAAUUUAUAAUUUCAACUUUUAAAUAAAACAUAUCCUUUGGAUUUUUUACAUAAACUAGAGGCAAUUGUACAAUAUUUACUUGACUAGUGGUAUAUAUCCCAAAUUUUUUAUCCUAAGAAAUGCCACAUCAUUUGGUUGAUGAGGAUAAUAUAAUUAAUUCACUUAGAUAUUAUAAAAAAUUAUCAACCAAUCAAUGAAUAACAUAUCAUUUUCAUUGGGAUGAAAUUUGAAAAAAAAAUUUAGGACGUCUAUCAUUACUUUAGUAAGAAAGCAUAUUAAGAUGGACUGACAUGUUUGGAUGCCCCAGCCUAAGAUGCAAGAGAUCAAUUUCUUUUGUUGUCUUGAAAUCCCUACUAUUUGACUCAACAACAUUGGCAACAUUUAACUCAUUACUACUAGAACAAAAAGAUAUCAUAGACAAAGGAUUGCUAAUGCAAUUUAUUGACUCAUACUCUAAAGAUAGAGGUAACUCAACAGCACAUUCAAUCUUGCGCUACUCAUGCACAUUAGCUCAUAUAGCCUAUCUUUAGUCACUCCUUUCAUUAGGAUUUUCACUUGGCUAAAGCAAGUAGAUUUUUGAAGCACAACAUCAAUAUCAUUAUCACGGAACAAUUUUGAGACAUUAAUAAGGUUCUUAGUAAUGCUAGGCACAGACAACGAGCUGUUUAGUUUAAUCUGUUUGUGUGGAUCAUAAGUGAGCAAUAUAGAGUAUCCAAUAUGAGAAAUCAAAAGUUUAUCACCAUUUCCAACAGUAGCUCAUCAUUACCUUGAUAUUAUGAAUUAAAGCUCAUGCUUCCAAUAGCACUGGUUGCAUGAUUUGUAGCACCAUUGUCAAGGUACCAAGCUCUACUAUUCUCACCGUCAACUGCAACCACAUAUGCUCUUCUUGGAUCUCUUCUUCUAUUUGGCUGUGGAACUGAUAUGAACCCUAUUAAGAACUAACAUGACCCUAACCAAUUUAGUCUCUAAGAUUGAAACCAAUUUUUUAUUUUUUUUAGAAGAGAUUGAAACCAAAUCUAAAAUUGAAUGGAACCGCGAUUUGAUCUCAAUGAAAGUACGAACCUUGGUAUGUGAUGACGCCACAAUCAGCUAUGGAUGAUCUUAUUGAUAAGUCAAGAGUUUGAACGCCACAGAAAUCCGAUAAAUUCAAAGGGUUAGUUUAAGAACCAAAGAGAAUUAGCUUUCUCACCAAUUGCAUCAAAAUUGAUGCCUUUCUUAUUGGAUACGAGUACAUUAGAUAGGGUUGGUUUAUAAGAAUUUUAAGAAAUAAAUCCUAAACCAAAAUCAAAUCAGAAUCCUAAUUUAAAGCAAAUAAGGAAAGAAACUAAAUCAAACCAGAAUCCUUAUUGGCUUAAAUGCCUUGCAUCAAUUAAAAAUGGAAACAAGGCAAUUAAAAGAGAAAUAAUUGAUUCGUUUUGCCACUUGCCUACUCAAGAAAUGGGAAAGUAUCCUAAAAGGAAAGUAGUAUAUUUUCCAAACGAGAAAACAUCUGAUAAGGUAAAUAAUGUAUUUUCUUGCCAUAAUGUGCAAACCAACUUGCUGAUUUUAUGGAAAUGAUUAUGUGGAAACUUAAAAAGCCUGAAUCACGUAUUUAGUGGUCUGAAUAUCAUGUGCGCUUUCUUCAACGGGCCUCCACGAAUUUGAUUGAGCUCAAGUUGCUUAAAUCAACCCAUUAAGCGAUUUUUUGAAUUUUUUUGCACGAGCUCUUGUGAUGGGUCCAACAGGAACUUGAAUGGGAUAUGAAUAUACCUCAUCCCAUGUGCUUGUGACAGUUUUGUCCUCAAUAUCAUAUUUUUUCCUUCAAAGAAACAAUUUUGCUUCAUAUGGAAAAGGAAAUUCUUAUGUAGCCUUACAUGAUUUAUACAUAAACUCAUAAUAUUUGUGUAGUCCUUCAUGAACAUGUGAAAUAUACACUUAUAUAGUGAAUCCUUCAUGAGCAAGAUGUUAGUGAAUAACAUCAUAAUUUUGGAAUAGUCUUUCAGGAACAUAUUUUGAAAGAAAAUCUUCAUUAUGUAUAGUGCGAUCCUUAGAGAUGCAUUCUUAAUUUUCUUUCAUUAUAUAUUAUAAUAUUCAUACUUUAGGAUGAAUAUUUUGAAUUUCAAGAAUAGAAAAUAUAUAAUAGCAAUUGAAUAUUAUAAUAUAAAAAAUCAAACAAUAACAAAAUCAAUCAAUGGAACAUUAAAUAAAUGUUGGAAUCCAAAUCUCAUAAAAUAUAUGUAAUCAUUAAUAAAGGAAGUAUUAGAACAAGAAUCAAUCGGUCCUUGAUCUUAGCCACUAACUUAGCAUAUUGUAAUAUUCAUUCUCCUUUAUAUUCUUUCCUUUUCUAUUAUUUGACCGUUUGGUACUUGCCUUAGAUGAUUCUAGUAUUUUUGUAUAUAAGGAUCUUGUACACAGCAACAAAUAUAUAUGAGCAUUUCCACAAUUCUUUACAUGGUACCAGAGAAAAUUUUGCUCAUUUAUGCUUUUCUCUUUGACAAUCAUGUCUAGUAGUUUGAAUCCAAUAUCAGAAACAUCAAAUUCCCUCAUUACCGAUGCUUCUUCACCAUACUUUCUUCAUUCAUCUGAUCAUCCUGGAGCCAUUCUUGUAUCUAAUGUGCUAAUGGGUGAUAAUUAUUCAACAUGGAAAAAAUCCAUGAAGAUGGCAUUAAAUGCCAAAAACAAAUUGGGUUUUAUUGAUGGAAGCAUACAAAAACCUUCAUCAACCUCACAAGAUUUAAAAACUUGGGAGCGAUGCAAUGACAUGGUCCUUUCAUGGAUGCUCAAUGGAAUAGAGAAAAAUCUUGCCAACAGCCUCAUUUAUUGUGAUACUCCACGCUCUCUUUGGCUUGGGUUGGAAGAACGUUUUUCACAAAGUAAAAAUCAUUAGUGAUUUAUUUUAAUACUUUGAAAUUUUAUUAGGAUGAAUUGUCCACAUUAACCACUAUUUCUUCUUGCAAGUGUGAAACUUCAUAUGAAUUGCAGGGAUUACUAGAGACUGAAAAGGUGUUUCAAUUCCUAAUGGGUCUCAAUGAUUCAUAUUCUUCGGUACGAAGUCAAAUCUUAGCCAUGGAACCACUUCCAAAUGUUGGAAAACCAUAUUCAAUUAUUCAUCAGGAAGAACGUCAACGACUUCUCCAUGUUUCCAGUCAACCAUCCAUUGAAUCAACAGCCUUGACAGCCAAUAAUAAGACUCAAAUGACCGGCUGUCAAAAUCAUUCACAUUGUGAAGCCAGCAAGUAGUUAUAUUCUGUUUAAUUGAAUGAGGUGGCAUGCUGAGUUGGCAUAAGAUCCUUGAGUCUGUUAAAUCUGUUAAUGAAGAAUAACAGUUGGCACUCUUCUUUCGUAGCUAAGGAGUUAUAAAAGGGCAGCAAGGAGAUACAUUGGAGAUACGAGUGUAUGAGAGAUUCUUGGAGUGAGAUAUAGAACUUUUGUGAGAAGUUAAUAUCUCUGUAAUCUCAUCAUCUUUUGUAAACCAUCUUUCAUUCUAAAUAAAGCUUAGAGCUGUGCUGUUUCAACCGUGGAUGUAGGCUUUUUGUGGCCGAACCACGUUACAUCUUCUUGCCUUUAUCUUUUAUAUUCUUGGUAUCUUUGGUUGUUUGGUUUAGAUCUUUAGUGAGAAUACAUUUGUUCGUAUGCUUGUUUUCUUAAAGAAGCUUGAAAGUGCUGGGCUAAGUUCUUAACAAACUGGUAUCAGAGCCAGAAGGGCACUCUGUUCUUGAUCUGGCAUAAUGGGCAGCACAAGAUUCGAUCUUGAAAAGUUCAAUGGAGAGAAUGACUUCUACCUGUGGAGUCUGAAGAUGCGAGCCAUUCUGAUUCAACAGGGCUUGGAUAGUGCCCUCGAUGAUGACUGCGAAUCAAAGUCCAAAAGGGAAAAGGAAGAAGGAUCUUCAAGUUUGGGUGGAGACUCAAGGACUAUAAACAACAAGGCUCACAGCACUAUCAUUCUACACUUGUCUGAUGAAGUGCUGAGAGAAGUAGCCAAAGAGAAGACAGCCUCUGGUUUGUGGGCUAAACUAGAAGAACUCUUCUUGAAGAAAUCUUUGGCUAAAAGAUUGUACAUGAAGAGGAAACUCUACACGUUUUCAAUGAAGGAAGGGACAUCCAUGAAAGACCACCUUGAUGAGUUCAAUAAGUUGAUACUCGAUCUUGAAAACGUUAAUGUCAUGCUUGAAGAUGAAGAUAGAGCUCUUAUUUUGUUAAGCUCACUACCUGACUCCUAUGAGCAUUUCGUGGACACCUUGCUCUAUGGGAGACAGACCCUCACAUUGAAGGAUGUCAAGAAUGCUCUCGAAUCUAAAGACCUAAAGAAAAGAUCAGACUUCAAGGAUCAAGCUAUAGGAGAUGGUUUGUUUGUGAAAACAAAAUCAGAAAAGAAAGGAAACAAAGAUAAGAAGAACAAAAAUCAGAAAGAAAAAGAUGACAAGAAGAAGAAGAAAAGAAAAUGCUACUUCUGUCAAAGAGAAGGACAUUACAUCAAAGACUGUUUCGAGAAAAAGAAGCUAGAAAAGCUGCAAAAGGAGACAAAUGGAAAAGCAGCAAUUGCAUCUGAAGAUGAAGAGGAUGCUGAAGGUGCUGAUGUUCUCAUUGCAGCAGAUAAACAACCCACAGCUGAAUGGAUUCUUGAUUCUGGAUGUUCCUUCCACAUGUGCCCAAAUAAAGAAUUCUUCAAGACCUUCUAGAACAUAAAUAGUGGGAAAGUGUUGCUGGGAAACAACCUUGCUUGCAGAGUCACUGGAAUGGGGACUAUCAACAUUCAGAUGUUUGAUGACAAAACCAGGGAGCUUAAACAAGUAAGGUAUGUCCCUGAACUAAAAAGAAACCUGAUCUCUCUUGGGAUGAUGGAUAAAUUGGGUUGUAGCAUUAAGGCUGAAGAUGGAAAAAUUGAGGUCUUAAAUAAAGGUGAAGUCAUAAUGAAGGGUGUUAGAAGGAAUGGUUUGUAUGUGUUAGUUGGGUCAGUGCCUCAGCUUGGAGUAAAUGCUAACAUAAAUAGUGAUAAAACCAAGCUCUGGCACAUGAGACUUGGACAUAUGAGUCAAAAAGGUAUGAAGGAGCUGGAGAAACAAGGUCUGUUUGGCCAUGAUCAGAUUUCUCAACUGGAAUUCUUUGAAAAGUGUGUGUUUGGUAAAGCCACUAGACUUAAGUUUAACACAAGUAAGCAUGAAACCAAACAGACCCUGGACUACAUACAUUCUGACAUCUGGGGUCCCUCCCAAGUUUCAUCCCAUGGUGGAGCUAGAUACCUUAUCACCUUCAUAGAUGACUACUCAAGGAAGCUUUGGGUUUACAUCUUGAAGCAUAAGAGUGAAGCCCUAGAUAAAUUCAAGGAAUGGACAACUCUAAUGGAAAAUCAAACUGGGAGGAAAGUAAAAAGGCUCAGAACUGAUAAUGGGCUAGAAUACUGCAGUAAUGAGUUUGAUGAAUUCUGUAAAAGGUUGGGCAUUGCAAGACACAAGACAGUAAGACAUACACCUCAGCAAAAUGGACUUGCUGAAAGGAUGAAUAGGACCUUGAUUGAAAAGGUCAGAUGCAUGCUGUUGAGCUCAAAUCUCCCCAAGCAUUUUUGGGCUAAAGCUGCUGUUACAGCUGCAUAUCUCAUUAGCAGAAGUCCAUCAUCAGCUCUGGAGUUCAAAACACCUCAGGAAGUCUGGUCUGGGAAGCCACCUGAUCUCAGCAAUCUGAAAGUCUUUGGUUGCCCUGCCUAUGCUCACAUUAGACAGGGCAAGCUGGAACCAAGGGCUGUGAAAGGUUACUUUAUAGGGUACCCUGAGGGCGUUAAAGGAUACAAAAUAUGGAGCAUAAAUGGGAAACCCACCAGAACCUUUAUUAGCAGGGAUGUUGUUUUUGAUGAGGAAGCCCUGACACAGUCAAAGGUUGAGACUGAAAUAAUCAAUACAAGCUCUGAAGUAAAGGGAGUUGUUGAGCUGGAGGUGGAGUCACCAAAAGAAGCAAAACAACAUCCAAAACAAACACAUUCUGAAUUGGAAGGAUAUCAACUGACUAGGGAUAGAAUAAGAAGAACCAUCAAAAUGCCUGAAAGAUUUGGAGUUGCAGAUCUUAUAUCCUAUGCUUUGGCUGUGGCUGAAGCUGAAACAAGUGAGGAACCUGCAACCUACAAGCAAGCUAUGAGAACCAAGGACAAAAGAAAGUGGGUUGCUGCCAUGGAAGAAGAAAUGGCCUCACUCAGAAAGAAUAAGACCUGGACUUUAGUAAAGAAACCAGCUAACCAAAAGCUAGUAGGCUGUAAAUGGAUAUAUAAGAUAAAGGAGGGAGUCUCAGAAGCUGAACCAGCCAGGUACAAGGCCAGACUUGUAGCAAAGGGGUUCACCCAAAGAGAGGGAGUGGAUUUUAAUGAAGUAUUCUCCCCUGUGGUCAAACACAGCUCAAUAAGAGUCUUGUUAUCCAUUGCAGCAUACAAUGACUUGGAGUUAGAUCAAAUGGACGUGAAGACUGAUUUCCUACAUGGAGAUCUCAGUGAGAGGAUACUGAUGGAACAGCCAGAGGGAUUUGUUGAAGCUGAAUCAGAAGAUAUGGCUUGCUUGCUCAAUAAAAGCCUAUAUGGAUUAAAACAGUCACCUAGGCAAUGGUAUUUGAAAUUCGAUGAGUUUAUGAUCACACAUGGCUACAGCAGAAGUAAAUAUGACAGUUGUGUGUACUCUAAGGCUCUAACCUCUGGAAAUUUCAUUUACCUUUUACUCUAUGUGGAUGACAUGCUCCUGGCAUGUAAACAAAGAGAAGAGCUGGAGUGGCUUAAAGGUGAACUAAGCUCAGAAUUUGAAAUGAAGGACCUAGGUCCAGCCACCAAAAUAUUGGGAAUGCAUAUAAUCAGAGAUAGAGUUUCUAAAACCCUUUUCUUGUCUCAGACAGGAUAUGUGGAGAAGGUUCUCAGUAGAUUUGGAAUGAAUGAAUCCAAACCAGCCUUAACUCCUUUAGGAGCUCAGUUCAGACUCUCUAAACAGGAAGAGCCAAAAGAUAAUGCAGAGGUUGAACACAUGAAGAAUAUACCAUACACUAGUGUGAUUGGUUGUAUUAUGUAUGCCAUGGUCUGCACCAGACCUGAUUUGGCCUAUGGAAUUGGAGUCUUGAGCAGAUUCAUGUCAAAUCCUGGAAAACAUCAUUGGCAUGCAGCUAAAUGGAUGUUGAGGUAUUUAAAGGGCACAGCUGGUAUGGGUAUAGUAUAUGGAAGGGUUGACAAAAGCUCAGAUCAAAUUCAAGGAUAUGUUGAUUCAGACUUUGCUGGUGAUCUGGAUAAAAGAAGGUCAAUCACUGGUUAUGUUUACACUUUGUGUGGUGGAGCAGUCAGCUGGAAAGCUUCUUUACAGUCAGUAGUUGCUUUGUCAACUACUGAGGCAGAGUACAUAGCACUCUCAGAAGCAGUGAAAGAAGCAAUAUGGUUAAAAGGGUUAGUAGCAGAGUUAGGCCUGGAGCAAGGAUCAGUCAAUAUCAACUGUGACAGUUCUAGUGCCAUCCAGUUGAGCAAGAACCCAAAAUACCAUGAGAGAACAAAACAUGUGGAUAUAAGGUUACACUUCAUCAGAGAUGAGAUUGCUCAAGAAGUUGUAAAUGUAAUUAAGAUUGCAUCAGAAUGUAACCCUGCAGACAUGCUUACGAAGACUCUGCCAUCAGUCAAGUUCAAAGCUGCUUUGAAUUUGAUUGGCAUGGUUAUUUAGUAGAUCUAGUUAUGGUUGGUUGGUUCAGUGACUGAGAGAAGCUUUAACAGAAUAAAACUAGGUGGAGAUUUGUGAAGCCAGCAAGUAGUUAUAUUCUGUUUAAUUGAAUGAGGUGGCAUGCUGAGUUGGCAUAAGAUCCUUGAGUCUGUUAAAUCUGUUAAUGAAGAAUAACAGUUGGCACUCUUCUUUCGUAGCUAAGGAGUUAUAAAAGGGCAGCAAGGAGAUACAUUGGAGAUACGAGUGUAUGAGAGAUUCUUGGAGUGAGAUAUAGAACUUUUGUGAGAAGUUAAUAUCUCUGUAAUCUCAUCAUCUUUUGUAAACCAUCUUUCAUUCUAAAUAAAGCUUAGAGCUGUGCUGUUUCAACCGUGGAUGUAGGCUUUUUGUGGCCGAACCACGUUACAUCUUCUUGCCUUUAUCUUUUAUAUUCUUGGUAUCUUUGGUUGUUUGGUUUAGAUCUUUAGUGAGAAUACAUUUGUUCGUAUGCUUGUUUUCUUAAAGAAGCUUGAAAGUGCUGGGCUAAGUUCUUAACACACAUCCUAGCCAUUUGCAUGGAGUACAAGAGACACAAGGACGGGGUAGAUCUUUCUGCGAUCAUUGCCAGAAAUAUGGGCAUAUAAAAGCCAAAUGUUACAAAAUUGUUGGCUACCCACCAAACUGGAAACAUUCAAAUCGAUCGCAUGUUGCUGCUCCUACAACCACAAAGCCACAACAACUAGAUGAUCAUCCCAUUCCAACAGACAAGAAUGCAUCAUCUCAGCCUACUAUCCAAAUUCCUGGUCUCACGGCUGAACAAUAUCAACAAUUAUUAUCUAUACUUUCAACAAGUGAGCAACCAUCUACUGCAAACUUAGCUGGUAAAAUCUUUCCUUUUUGCAAUUCUGCUAUUAACUCAUAUAAUAAUUCUUGGAUAAUUGAUAGUGGGAAUCUGAUCACAUGACCCCUAAUAUUUCUUCCUUUAAAAAUUUUGUGCCCAUGUCUCAUGUCAAACCCGUGAGACUACCAAAUGGCACAACUGUUCCUACAACAAAAUGUGGAUCCAUUAAAUUAUCCUCCUCUUUGACUUUAGAUAAUGCCUUAUUGGUUCCUCAUUUUAAUUUUAAUCUAUUAUCUGUAAGCAAGCUAACCAAGGAUUUGAACUGUGCUGCUAUAUUUUUUUCCUUCAUUUUGUGUUUUUCAGGACCUUUCAACGAAGAAGCUGAUUGGAAAGGGUGAAGUUUGGGAUGGACUAUAUUAUUAUGAGCUUAUCAAUGGUCAUUCUUCCCUUCCUUCAGUAAUGAACGUUGCAAAGGAACCCAAUUCCAAUCUUUGACAUUUGCGACUCGGUCACCCUUCUAAAGACCGAAUGCAGCGUUUGUCUUUUAUUUCUGAUAUUGCAUCAUUUAAUUCUUGUUGUGAAAUUUGUCAACUUUCAAAAAACACUAGAAGUUCAUUUCAAUUGAAUAAAAAUCAUUCUGAUAUGCCAUUUCAAUUAAUUUUUUGUGAUAUUUGGGGACCUCAUCGCACAUCUACAUAUACGGGAGCAUAUUAUUUUCUUACUAUUGUUGAUGACCAUACUCGUUGUACUUGGGUUUACCUCAUACGGCACAAGUUUGAAGCUUUUCAAUUAUUAAAAAAUUUUUACUUCUUGAUCAAGACACAAUUUCACACACAAAUUAAAAAAAAAAAUUUGUAUUAAUCAAGGAAGUGAAUUUUUAUCAAAUCAGAUGCAAUUUUUUUCAUGAGCAUGGCAUCUUGCAUGAACACACUUGUGUUGAAACACCUCAACAAAAUGGGGUAGCAGAACGCAAGUAUCGACAUAUUUUAGAAGUUGCACGUGCAUUAUGUUUUCAAGCACAUUUACCUUUGUCUUUCUGGGGAGAUUGUGUUUUAGUUGCAACCCAUUUAAUUAAUCGUAUACCCACUCCUAAUCUUGGUGGUCAAUCACCUUAUGAAAUGCUUUUUAAGACUAAACCUCACUAUGAUCUUCUUCGUGUCUUUGGCUGUCUUUGUUAUGCUCAUACCAACAGUGCUAAUCGUCAUAAAUUUGCUUCCCGUGCUACCAAGUGUAUAUUUGUUGGUUACCCAUUUGGGUAUCUCGGAUACAAAGUUUAUGAUAUCAUUAAUAAAAAGACUUUUAUUUCUCGUGAUGUUACUUUUGUGGAAACUGAAUUCCCAUUCAAAACUAUCACCAAUCAACAAGAAAAUAGCAAUCUUUUACCUCUUCCUAUCAUACUUCCUGCCAAUGAAAAUGCACAGCUCCUUCCAACUUCUUCCAAUGAAAAGCCACUCCACCAAGGUACAUCUGAUUCAAUAGUUCUCCCUUCUCCACCUCUUCGACGAUCCCAACGACAGUCUUGUCGUCCAAAUUAUCUUCAGAAUUAUAUUUUCUCUACUGCACUUCACGGUACAUUUGGCAACUCUAUUACUUUUACUAAUCAUCCACCAUUGGUAAGUUCUUUAUAUCCAUUAUCCAAGUAUUUAUCAUAUGACAAGUUUUCUAGUGAUCAUGUAGCCUUUCUUUAAGCUAUAUCUCACGGUGUUGAACCAACUACAUAUUCUCAAGCCGUUCAACAUGCUUAUUGGCGCAAUGCUAUGGAUAUAGAGAUUAAAGCUUUGGAGCAAAGUAACACUUGGACAAUACAAGAUCUACCCCCCGGCAAGAAACCAAUUGGUUGUAAAUGAGUGUUUAAAAUUAAAAGAAAAGCUGAUGGUUCUAUUGAUAGAUACAAAGCAUGCCUUGUUGCUAAAGGAUACACACAAACUGAAGGUUUGGAUUACCAUGAGACAUUUGCACCUGUUGCAAAACUUGUGACUGUUAGAUGUGUAUUGGCAAUGGCAGCUAUUCGAGGGUGGUUAUUAUUUCUGUUAGAUGUUCAUAAUGCAUUUCUUCAUGGCAACUUGCAUGAGGAAAUUUAUAUGACCUUACCUCCAGGAGUUCGUAAACAGGGGGAGUCUUAUCAAUUUUGUCGGUUAAACAAGUCCCUUUAUGGUCUUAAGCAAGCUUUUCAAAAAUUGGUUUGAAAAAUUCUCAUCCGCUCUUAAACAAAUUGGUUACAUUCAAUUUUGUGCUGAUUCUUGUUUAUUUACUAAUAUGCACGAUUCUCAUUUUACAUUGGUGCUUGUGUAUGUUGAUGAUAUAAUAAUUGCUGGUAACCAUCUUGACACUAUAACUGCAUUGAAGAUAUUUUUACAGGCUCAAUUUCAUAUUAAAGACUUGGGAACUUUGAAAUAUUUUUUAGGAAUUGAAGUGGCUCGUUCAAAGCAAGGGAUUUUCUUAAAUCAAAGGAAAUAUGCUUUAGAUAUACUUCAAGACAGUGGACAAUUAGGCACACGGCCAUCUUCUUUUCCAAUGGAAUAAAACUUGAAGCUCUCUAACGAUCAAGGAACCCUUUGUCAAAAUCCUGACCACUACUAACCACUGUCAUAGGAUGUCUCAUCUAUUUGACAAUCACCCGGCCAGAAAUUACAUAUGCUGUGAACAUACUUAGUCAAUUUAUGCACACUCCAAGACGACCACAUUAUGAUGUUGCCCUGCGUGUCUUACGUUACAUUAGAUCUUCUCCCGGCGCUGGUAUCCUCUUGUCCUCCGCUAGCUCUUUGGAACUCUCUGCCUUCUCAGAUUCAGAUUGGGCAAGUUGCCCCAUGACCCGUCGAUCCACCACUGAAUAUAUUAUCAUGCUCGGCAACAAUCCUAUUUCUUGGAAAACCAAGAAGCAACCAUUUGUAUCGCGCUCUUCCGCUGAAGCCGAAUAUCGAGCAAUGGCGACAACAACAUGUGAAUUGGUUUGGUUGAAAACUCUACUUCAUGAUCUUCAUGUGACCCAUCCAAUGCCUAUAACUUUACAUUGUGACAAUCAAGUUGUGCUUCAUAUCGCUGCGAAUCCCAUCUUCCAUGAGCGUACCAAGCACAUAGAAAUAGACUGCCAUCUUGUUCGUGAAAAGCUUCAUGCCAAAAUCAUUUCCUUAACUUAUGUGCCUUCACGACAACAAUUGGCUGACAGUUUUACCAAAGUUCUUGGUAAAGAUCAAUUUCAAUAUCUUCUUGGCAAGUUGGGAGUUACGGAUCUUCACUUUCCAACUUGAGGGGGAGUAUUAGAACAAGAAUCAAUCGGUCCUUGAUCUUAGCCACUAACUUAGCAUAUUGUAAUAUUCAUUCUCCUUUAUAUUCUUUCCUUUUCUAUUAUUUGACUGUUUGGUACUUGCCUUAGAUGAUUAUAGUAUUUUGGUAUAUAAGGAUCUUGUACACAGCAACAAAUAUAUAUGACCAUUUCCACAAUUCUUUACAGGAAGUAAGGAACAACUUCAUAGAUCCAUUAUUCUUAAAUUAUAAAAAUACAUAAACAACAUAUGUAUAUGAUUUUAGACAAAUCAAGAUAGUUUAAUUCAUACCUUUGUGAGUGAGAUCAAAGGAGGGAUAUUAUCAUAUUACCUCUUAAUGGCUAGAGACUCGUGUUGAUAAUGUGUUAUAUCAUUUAUCAAUUGGGAGUGCAACAAUAUAGCAAGAGAAAUAAAGAAGGCAAAUAAGAGACACAAUGUUUAGAGGGGAAUUUUAUUCAAUCUCAAAUAUAUACAAAUAGGAAGCAAAGGCCUGCUUUUAUAGUGAUACAAGCAUAAAGUAGUAAGUAAUACCUCGUAAUUAUAAGAGAUGACAAUCCUCAGAUUAGGGAGAUAAUGAGAGUUAUAAAAGAUGGAAAGUUACUUGUGAGGAGAUCGAAGAUUGCUUUGAUGAACAUCCACAUAUAUUAUAAUAAUUUCAUAACAUACAUUUACUUUUAAUUUAUUUUUAAGGUUAAUUGGUUAAUAAGCUUCUUGUGUAGUAGAUUGAUUAAUGUGCCCAAGAAUAUUGUUGGAUGCUAUUAUUUUAAAGGCAAAGAAAAAUAAGGCAUAAGUGUCACAUGUUCAAUAGCAGGGAUGUUUUGAGGAAUUUCUUAAAAUAAAAAGACUAAGUAGAUCUUUAGCCCAAAAUAUAGGGAUUAAGCAAGCAUUCAUCCUAUUGAAAAGCAAAGUAAACUAAUGUAACCAUAAUUGAAUAUAAAGUUAACUCUUCUAUGGCAUUAUAGAGAACAAAAGAAGGAAAAAUAUUAUUCAAAUUCAAGAUAAGAAGGUAGUUUAUUAACUGUCUAAAGUUCAAAAUUUUAUUAAUUUCAGACCUUUUUUAAAAUUUACUUAUUUGUUUUUUUGUAACUUAUGUUUGAUUUUUAGAUAUUUACAUCUGAAUAGAAAAAGUAAGAUUUUUUGACUUUUAUCUAAAUGGAAAAAGAUCUGAAUGAUUAGUAAAUAUUAUAUUCCAUAAAUAUCUCUAUAAAAUAACUUAUUUCCUAAUCUAUAAAAUAGAAUCCCCUUUUUUUAUUUUGAUUUACAAGGACGUAAAUGUCAAAGAACUAAGUUUAAGAUGUUUUUUAUUAUAAAAACAAAUAAGAUGCCACUUACAUUCAUAUAUUAAAAAAUGAAAAACAAACAUGUGAUUCAAAUUUUCGUAUUCAAACCCAUUCAAACUUGAAAAAAAUUUAGACACAUUCAAAUUUCAGACAAAAAAGACAAAUACUACUUCAAUUUUUUUUUCGCUUUGCAACUGCCCACUGCUAACCAAAUAAAAAAAGAUUUUCAAUUUGGAAUUAUGUUAUCCAACAUAUGAAGACAAUUCUUCCUUUGAACGAAUCUUUAUGAUUGUUUUCUGAACGAAUAUUGCUCUAAAUUAAAAUAUUUUAGAACAAAAAAUAGUUGAUUGCCAAAUGUACAAUAGGUACAAUUUUCUUUUUUCAGCUCUCUUUUGGAAGAGAACUAUGUCGUCCUUUAUAAUUAUUAUUUCUUGAAAGAAUACAAACUUAAAUUACUGGCUUUUUAUUUGUAAAAUCAUAUAAAAUAGACUCUUUUAAGGAAAAUAUCUCAUACCGGAGAUAAUAAUUUCUGGACUAAGAAUAUAAACUUAAAACAGCACUACUAUCAAAUUAUCUUUAAAAGAGUUCCUUGAUCAAAAGAAUUUAUUUAUCAUUUUUCACAGUUUAAAAAAAUAAAAAAAAUUACAUAGAAAUAAUUGGAAGAUUUCCUAAAUAAGCAUCAAAUAAAUGCUAAUUUAUUGCAUGAUACUUGGAAGAAACCAUAAAUAAAAAUUAAGGAUUUAUAAUUUUAAAGACAAGUUGGGAGUUUAAAUUUUCUUGCCAUCUUGAGGGAGAAUAAUAAGACCGAAAUAAUAUUGAUGAAACAAAAUAAUCAAUCAAAUAUUUGAUUGUCUUCAUCUUAAUCAGUGAUCAAGAAAAAUUGGUUGUUAAUUAACAUAAAAAUUGAUUGACUCAAUAUUUACUAAUAGAUCAUUAUUCCCAAAUUAUGUUAAUUAUAUAUAUUUCAAAUACUUAUAAGAAUUGAGUUUGCUUACGGUUUAUUAAAUAUAGUCUCUUAAAAGUUUACAUGUGGCCCAUACAAAGCUAACAUUACUCUGUUAUAGCAUUUCGGGCAUCCAACAAGAUCCUCUUCUUCACUUAUUGUUAGAACUAGAGCUAACAAAUUAAUUACUUAAUCACGGCUAAGUUUGGAAUUAAAAUCAAACUAAAUUAUCUAAUUGGUUGAGUUCGGUUUCCGUUUGUAUGGGCUACAUGAAAUUUUUUCUCUCAUCUUCUCUCGUCUGCUAAUCGCAUCUUUCUCUCUUUCGACUCUCUAAUUUCUCUCUUGGAUUUGGUUACCAAGCACAUAAAAUUGAAGCCACCAUCUCGCUCAUAACAAACAACUAGUCGGAUCCACCAAACUGUUGCUGUCAUCUUGAGCCAUUCAAGUAACUUGAACACAUCAUCUUCUCGUAAAUUCUCUUUCAUUUUCGAAUUAAAGACAAGGUAAGGAUGUAAUCUUGACUUUUGUGUUUUUUGUGAUGACUACAGAAAAUGCUAUAUGAAACAAUUAGGGAUUUAUGUGCUAUAUAAUAAUAAUAAUAAUAAUAAUAAUAACAACAACAACAACAACAACAAGUAGUCAUUUAUGAAUUUUGAGUGAAAAAAUAGGGAUUUAUGUGCUUCUUCUUCUUCUUCUUCUUCUUCUUCUUAUUAUUAUUAUUAUUAUUAUUAUUUUCCCUAUAUUAAACAAGUAGUCAUUUAUGAAUUUUGAGUGAAAAAUUCACUCGGCUGUGGCAAAUUUUGUGCCUUACAAGUAGUCGAUUUCACGCAUUCAUCAUCACCAUUACUAUGUUCAUUAUUAUUUGCUAUUGUUUUUUACUUUUUCUGCUGUUAUUGAUUAAAUUGACAUUAAAUUUAUGUCUUGUUCAUUACAAGACUUAGGGUGCGUUUGGGAUUGAGGUUGGGCAGCUGUAGCUUAAAAGCUACAGCACUAAAGUGUUUGGUAAACACUAGCUGUUGUAGCUUUUAAGAUAUGUUGAUAUGAUUUUUCACUUGUAUAAUAUAAAAUUUAUUAUAUCUUUAAUAAUUUUAUCAAAAUUAUUAUUUAAAAUUUAUAUUUACUAUUAUUAUUAACUUUUGUUUUAUAAUUACAGCUUUUUUUUCACAGCAGCUGUAGCUUAAAAGCUACAGCACCUCAAUCCCAAACGCACCCUUAACAAUAUAAUCCAGUUGUAACAUGGACACUACAGAUGAUACAAGUGCGCAAGACCUAGUCAGAGAGCGUAGUACACUUUUUGUAAGUAUAAACUAAUUGAUAUUUUUCGAGUUGUUAUGUUAGCAACCAUUUUAAAAACACUUUUGUUUUCGAAUUUUGGUUACGUUGAAGUGAAGGGGAUUGAGUUGCCAUUAAAAAUCAAAGUAUUUUGGUCUUUAUAAACAAAGCGCUUUUGUGGAAUAGAUCUAAGAAGAUGCUAAUCUUCUUAAUAAAUUUUUUUUAAAAAAAAUUCUAUUACUCUUGGUGCAACAAAUUUCCUAGUCCCAAAACCUUGUCAUAGAAAAAAAAAAAAAAAAAAAAAGAAAACAGAAAAAGAGUGAAAAUCUCUUCGGUCAACCAAAUUACUCAAAUUCGUAAAAUAAUAUAAUACUUGAACCUUAAAAAUAAAAGCUCUAUAUAUUACUAUAUAAACAGUGAUAAACACAAUUACUAUCUAAGCCCACUCGAAGUUUUAUCAUACAGUCGUAUAUUUAUCACCUUAUGUACGUAUAUUGUAAUUUGGAUACGUUAUUUAAUUGUAUUUAUAUUGUGUAUAUUUACCACAUUAUGUACGUAUAUAAAAUAUAACGUAUAUUGUGUAAACUCUACUAUAAACAAUUAAUAUUUGGUCAUAUUUCUUUUGGCAAAUAACCCCCUGGGAUUUCUUCUUUAUCGCAACAUGAAAUUGAAGAUAUUUAAAAGGUUUUGAAACGUUAUUUUUAUUGAAUGGAGUUGCCAUUUUUAAUUUUGGUUGCAAAUAAUAAUUCCUUGGUGGUUACAAUAUUUUUAAAUAUCCCCAUUAAGGCUGUAGGGGCUACAAAUCUUCAUUCUAGAUCUGUAACAUAUGACUAUGAAUUAUAUAUAAAUGAGCUAUUUUUCUUUAUCUUUGGAUAUAUUAUAUACUCUAUUGUUUUCUCCGAAACUCUACGAUAAACAAUUAAUACUUUUCUUUGCAACUUCGACAAAUGAGCUAAGGAAUGUUAAUGCAUUCAUUAAUUAUUCAAUUUCUUAUCUAAAGACUAAGAUUCUUUUAUUUUUUAUUCUAUCAAUUUAUUAUUAUCGUAAAACAAUUGCGGGUGAGUAUAUUUAAACUCAUUAGAUCACUUCCUAUAUCCUAAAUCAAUAAAUAAUUUUAUUACAAAAUUACUGAAAAAUCCUUUUAAUUUCUUGAAUACCCAAAAAGUAAAAUUACCAUUCUAGAUGGAGGAUAAAUCUUUAAAACUGCCUUAAACGCAUCUUAUUUGUUCAUACACACACAAGUUAUUAAACAACCAUGGAUGUUGAACCAAAGUGUCAAACUUAGUUUCUGGUUGUCAAAUUUUCUUCCUAUUGGACAUCUAAAUCGUUUUGUAGUCAGUAACAUAGUCAGAAAAUCAAAUUAGUGGGGUAGAAUGACUGACAUAAAAUAUAAAGAAAUUUUUUUACUGUGUUCUUUAUCUAUUUUUCUAAUAUUUUUAGCAUUCCUCCUUACAUAUGUCUUAAUAGCAUGUUUAAUUUGAAGAAAUAAAAUAAGAAGAGAUGAGAGAUAAGGAGAAUGGGAACAAUAAAUAAUGGAAAAAGAGAUAUAAUUAUAUAUUAAAUUAAACAAUGAAAUUGAGAAUGAUCCUAUUUUUUCCCUCAUUUUUGAUCACUUACUCUAAGGAACCAGAACUUUAAGGAAAGACAGACAAAUCAUAAAGAUUGAAGAGCAGGAAUUUUUGUUCUCCUUUUUAAAUAAAAAAUUUCAUUUCAAUGGAUUUUUAUUAUUAAAUUAGUCUUUCUCUAAAUCAGAUCAAAUAUAUUAGAUCUUAAAUCUUGUUUUUAAUGAAAUUAAUUACGUUUUGGGCAUUUAAAUUAUGAAAUUGGACAAGAUUUGUGUGUGAUUUUAAAAUAAAUAUGAACUUGAAUUUGAUGCAUUUAAUUAAUCCAAAGAGGCAAAUUUAUAAUUUCAACUUCUAAAUAAAACAUAUCAUUUGAAUUUUAUCAGUGGUUUCUAACAAUAACUGACAGGUCAUUAUAAUAAUUAUAAAUGUAAUAUUUAUUUUUAUAAUUAUACAGUUAUGAUCAAUGCUAUGCUGUAGUGCCGUUCCAAAGGCAACUGCUCCCACUAUAAUUAUAAUCAUUAAGCAAGAACUUGCAAAAGCAACUUAAUUACAAGUAAUCUUUCCUCUGUUCUUAUUUUCAGUUCAAUUUGGUCCCGAGAAUAAUGAUGUUGACGACAACAAAAAUAAUAAUUGAUGCAUCUUGCUGUUUAAUAAGGCAAGCUCGAAAUAAAUCAAAUCCUAGUCAUACAAAAAUUCAAAUGAUAUGAGCCAUGAUCUCUUGCCAAGCUUCAGACAAGUUAAAUUAUAAGAGGAUCUUGAUAAGUUAAAUUAUGAACAGACAUUUACGCUGUGGACCCAUUCAUGCAUCCCCGUUUCGAUUUUGCAAUUUAACGUAGCCGUUAAUCUUACCUAGCCAUGUGUACGAGAAAAACUCCGCCGUCGAUCCGUAUAUGUAAGCACCAAGCAUGCAUUAUUAUUUUACCAAUUAUAAAGCACCGACACCCAGGGCCAGCCUAGAAUUAUAAUACUAUUUUUUUUUUUGGAUCAGGACGAAAUUAUUAUUGAAUAAUAAUUAAAACAAAAAAAAUCUGAAUCUUUCUAUGAUUGUAUCAACUUAUUAUGCAUGCCUAUGUUAUUGCCCAGUUGCCUAUGUUAUUGACAUCUACUACGAAGUUAGAAAUUGGUCUUAAUUAAUUAGAUAUGUUUCGAAAUUGGUCUUAAUUAAUUAGAUGCAUUUCUCAUUUGAAUUAUUUGGAGACGUGUAUAAUACAGGUCAAGUUUUCUAAUAAGAGGUUAGUGACUUUAUUUCUUUUAUUGGCUCAUAUUGAUUUAUGUGGCUAUCAUUCCUAGCUAAUUCGAUUAUUUAUCAAUAAUUUUAUUGAACAAAUUGAUUUAUUGGUUAAAAUAAGUUGUUCUUAUUAUUGUUUUUGACUAGAAGGUCUCAAUAAAGUUGGAAUAAAUAAAUUUUCAUCUAUGUCUCGCACUUACGUAAAAUAAAAGAAAAAAUCAUAAUUACAAAGAAAUUAAGAACCAAUGUCAAUCAUGUAAAAUCAAAUAUUUAAACAAUCAAAAUUUUAUCACUUCUGAGUUUAAGACUUUUUUCUUUCAUAUGUUAGAAAAUAAAAUUUUGAUGGAAUUUUUUUUUUUUAAAAUGAAAUUGGGAAUUAGAAAAUUUCAUUUCCAAGACUUUUUUCUUUCAAAUUAAGACUGCACGUGAUAAUUGCGGUUAGUUUUCCCCUGUUAUCAAUUAUUGCCACCGGAUGGGACCCACGUAAUUCGUCUAAUUGAACUGUACCCGGUUAUUCGCAAUCCACACCGGGCAAACUUGAAUCAUCUAUAUAUAUUACAUCAAAUUGUCAAAUCGGAAGCGAGAACUCGAAAAAGUAAUUUAGUAAAACUCGCCGCCUAUAAAAUUCAAAACCGAGGGCCAAGACGAAGUAUUCACUCAAGGACCGCGAGUCACGCAUUGUGGUGUGAACGGUUACCAAAACAACGAAAAUGAACCAACGUCUUUGCUGUCUUAUUGUUCUCUUUCUCUCCGUGGUCCCUCUCCUGGCCGCCGGCGACCGUAAAGGAGCGUUGGUUGGGGGAUGGAAGGCGAUAGAGGACCCCAAGGAGAAGCACGUGAUGGAGAUUGGGCAGUUCGCGGUGACGGAGUACAACGAACGGUCAAAGAGCGCGUUGAAGUUUGAGAGCGUGGAGAAGGGCGAGACUCAGGUGGUUUCCGGCACCAAUUACCGGCUGAUCUUGGUCGUCAAGGACGGUCCUUCGAUCAAGAAAUUUGAAGCUGUCGUUUGAGAGAAGCCAUGGGAGCAUUUCAAGAGUCUCACCUCGUUUAAGCCUAUGUUUGGGGGAUGGACUCCGAUAGACCCCACGGAGAAGCACGUGAUGGAGAUCGGGCAGUUCGCGGUGACGGAGUACAACAAACGGUCAAAGAGCGCGUUGAAGUUCGAGAGGGUGGAGAAGGCCGAGACUCAGGUGGUUUCCGGCACCAAUUACCGGCUGAUCUUGGUCGUCAAGGACGGACCUUCGACCAAGAAAUUUGUAGCUGUCGUUUGGGAGAAGCCAUGGGAGCAUUUCAAGAGUCUCACCUCGUUUAAGCCUAUGUUUGGGGGAUGGACUCCGAUAGACCCCACGGAGAAGCACGUGAUGGAGAUCGGGCAGUUCGCGGUGACAGAGUAAUACAAACGGUCAAAGAGCGCGUUGAAGUUCGAGAGCGUGGAGAAGGCCUGGACUCAGGUGCUUUCCGGCACCAAUUACCGGCUGAUCUUGGUCGUCAAGGACGGACCUUCGACCAAGAAAUUUGAAGCUGUCGUUUGGGAGAAGCCAUGGGAGCAUUUCAAGAGUCUCACCUCGUUUAAGCCUAUGUUUGGGGGAUGGACUCCGAUAGACCCCACGGAGAAGCACGUGAUGGAGAUCGGGCAGUUCGCGGUGACAGAGUACAACAAACGGUCAAAGAGCGCGUUGAAGUUCGAGAGCGUGGAGAAGGCCUGGACUCAGGUCGUUUCCGGCACCAAUUACCGGCUGAUCUUGGUCGUCAAGGACGGACCUUCGACCAAGAAAUUUGUAGCUGUCGUUUGGGAGAAGCCAUGGGAGCAUUUCAAGAGUCUCACCUCGUUUAAGCCUAUGUUUGGGGGAUGGACUCCGAUAGACCCCACGGAGAAGCACGUGAUGGAGAUCGGGCAGUUCGCGGUGACAGAGUAAUACAAACGGUCAAAGAGCGCGUUGAAGUUCGAGAGCGUGGAGAAGGCCUGGACUCAGGUGCUUUCCGGCACCAAUUACCGGCUGAUCUUGGUCGUCAAGGACGGACCUUCGACCAAGAAAUUGUUAGCUGUCGUUUGGGAGAAGCCAUGGGAGCAUUUCAAGAGUCUCACCUCGUUUAAGCCUAUGCUUGGCGGAUGGACUCCGAUAGACCCCACGGAGAAGCACGUGAUGGAGAUCGGGCAGUUCGCGGUGACAGAGUACAUCAAACGGUCAAAGAGCGCGUUGAAGUUCGAGAGCGUGGAGAAGGCCUGGACUCAGGUGGUUUCCGGCACCAAUUACCGGCUGAUCUUGGUCGUCAAGGACGGACCUUCGACCAAGAAAUUUGAAGUUGUCGUUUGGGAGAAGCCAUGGGAGCAUUUCAAGAGUCUCACCUCGUUUAAGCCUAUGCUUGGGGAUGGACUCCGAUAGACCCCACGGAGAAGCACGUGAUGGAGAUCGGGCAGUUCGAGGUGACGGAGUGCAAUAAACGGUCAAAGAGCGCGUUGAAGUUCGAGAGCGUGGAGAAGGCCUGGACUCAGGUGGUUUCCGGCACCAAUUACCGGCUGAUCUUGGUCGUCAAGGACGGACCUUCGACCAAGAAAUUUGAAGCUGUCGUUUGGGAGAAGCCAUGGGAGCAUUUCAAGAGUCUCACCUCGUUUAAGCCUAUGUUUGGGGGAUGGACUCCGAUAGACCCCACGGAGAAGCACGUGAUGGAGAUCGGGCAGCUCGCGGUGACGGAGUACAACAAACGGUCAAAGAGCGCGUUGAAGUUCGAGAGCGUUUAGAAGGCCGAGACUCAAGUGGUUUCCGGCACCAAUUACCGGCUGAUCUUGGUCGUCAAGGACGGACCUUCGACCAAGAAAUUUGUAGCUGUCGUUUGGGAGAAGCCAUGGGAGCAUUUCAAGAGUCUCACCUCGUUUAAGCCUAUGUUUGGGGGAUGGACUCCGAUAGACCCCACGGAGAAGCACGUGAUGGAGAUCGGGCAGUUCGCGGUAACAGAGUACAACAAACGGUCAAAGAGCGCGUUGAAGUUCGAGAGCGUGGAGAAGGCCUGGACUCAGGUCGUUUCCGGCACCAAUUACCGGCUGGUCUUGGUCGUCAAGGACGGACCUUCGACCAAGAAAUUGUUAGCUGUCGUUUGGGAGAAGCCAUGGGAGCAUUUCAAGAGUCUCACCUCGUUUAAGCCUAUGCUUGGGGGAUGGAAUCCGAUAGACCCCACGGAGAAGCACGUGAUGGAGAUCGGGCAGUUCGCUGUGACAGAGUACAACAAACGGUCAAAGAGCGCGUUGAAGUUCGAGAGCGUGGAGACGGCCUGGACUCAGGUGGUUUCCGGCACCAAUUACCGGCUGAUCUUGGUCGUCAAGGACGGACCUUCGACCAAGAAAUUUGUAGCUGUCAUUUGGGAGUAGCCAUGGGAGCAUUUCAAGAGUCUCACCUCGUUUAAGCCUAUGCUUGGGGGAUGGACUCCGAUAGACCCCACGGAGAAGCACGUGAUGGAGAUCGGGCAGUUCGCGGUGACAGAGUACAACAAACGGUCAAAGAGCGCGUUGAAGUUCGAGAGCGUUGAGAAGGCUUGGACUCAGGUGGUUUCCGGCACCAAUUACCGGCUGAUCUUGGUCGUCAAGGACGGACCUUCGACCAAGAAAUUUGAAGCUGUCGUUUGAGAGAUGCCAUGGGAGCAUUUCAAGAGUCUCACCUCGUUUAAGCCUAUGCUUGGGGGAUGGACUCCGAUAGAGCCCACGGAGAAGCACGUGAUGGAGAUCGGGCAGUUCGCGGUGACAGAGUACAAUAAACGGUCAAAGAGCGCGUUGAAGUUCGAGAGCGUUGAGAAGGCUUGGACUCAGGUGGUUUCCGGCACCAAUUACCGGCUGAUCUUGGUCGUCAAGGACGGACCUUCGACCAAGAAAUUUGUAGCUGUCGUUUGGGAGUAGCCAUGGGAGCAUUUCAAGAGUCUCACCUCGUUUAAGCCUAUGCUUGGGGGAUGGACUCCGAUAGACCCCACGGAGAAGCACGUGAUGGAGAUCGGGCAGUUCGCGGUGACGGAGUACAACAAACGGUCAAAGAGCGCGUUGAAGUUCGAGAGCGUGGAGAAGGCCUGGACUCAGGUGCUUUCCGGCACCAAUUACCGGCUGAUCUUGGUCGUCAAGGACGGACCUUCGACCAAGAAAUUUGAAGCUAUCGUUUGGGAGAAGCCAUGGGAGCAUUUCAAGAGUCUCACCUCGUUUAAGCCUAUGGUUAAAUAGGGUGUUUAACAAAUAACAAAUGCAUGUAAUUGUUAAAUAAAGGAUAGGUAUACUAUUACCUAUCAAUCAUGGCAAUGUCUUAGUCUGUUUUAGUUCAACUUAUAAGAUUUCUUGAGAUGUACAAGAGAUCUUUUUGUUUACUUUUGAGCCAAGUAUUUUCCUGAAAAAGGAAAUAAAUCAAUAAAAAUUAUUGUGUGUCAACAUAUUGGUUAUAUUAGUCUAUACACGUCGGUUUUAAUUACCAUAUCUCCUCCUAAAUAUUUUACUUUUUUUGAAACAAGCUCAAAAAUUUGUUGUAUAAAAAACACUAUCACUUUCAAUCAUAACGUCCUCCUGGUCCUCCAUUGGGGAUAUUAUAGUGUGUCAUUCUGUAACCCAGAACUAUCAUUUAUUCCACCUCUACGAUAUCUUGUAAUGUUACUUGCAGCUUCAUAAGCCACAGAAACAUCAUCAAAAUCAACAAAUUGUUUUCUUUUCUUUUUUUUUAGGAAAGUAAUAAGAAAAAUAAAAGCUGCAUUAUUCUAUUUAUGAUCAAUAGAAGAAUUCAAGUGACUGGAGAAAAUUCAGAUUGUUCAAAAUGGGUUCUCAAACGAGAUAAGCCUCAGGUAGUAGACCUCACCAACAUCAAUACCAGACUCAAUCCAUUGAAUCGGUCUCGUCUUAAGCCUAACAGCUCCCUUCUAAUAUAAUCUAGUGAGAACGGUGAGGUGCUUGGUAUAUCAUACACCAAAAAUCAACGAUGCUUGGACUUUCAAGAAAAAGAGAAAAACAAAUGCAUGCACGGGGAAACGUACUAAUAAAAAGCAAAUCAUAUAAUUUACAAAUUAUUAUAGGCUUGUAGCCAUAAGAUCGAGAGAAACUAAAACAUUUCUUGCAUUUUCUGGCCAUAUUUUCUAAAUGAAGGGAUGGUCCAUUGCUGCUCUGCCAUACUGGAUCUCAAGAUGUCGUUAACAAUAGGUCUCAAGAUGUCACUAAAUUAUUGCCAGCAAAUGAUAUUUCGAGUCAAAAAAGUAUAUUCAAUUAUUGCAUAUAUGCUCCUAGGUAAUUUGCACAAUUGAAUUAUAGCUGUUAAUCUACUUAUUUACACAAUUGAUUAAUUUACGCAUCCAUUGCAAGACUUUCGCACUAGGUUUCAAUUUCAACCACAAAUCCUAGCUCUAGAUAAAAAUGAUGUGGUCGUAGAGAUUUCGAAUGUAUUCACUUUGUGAUUAACGGAAGCAUUGCUUUCAUUUGUAAGACGUUAAAUCAUCAUUUUGGUAAAGGAAAAAGAAUGAAAAAAGCUGCACUAUUUUAAAGGCCAUUUGGUAUAUGACCACUUCCCAUUGGACUUGGAGACCGGGUAAUUUUGUCAUCUCCACUCCUAGAAUCUGCUCUCAUGCUACUUGCAUGGUUCCAUCUUUGAAGUCUGGUACUGUUUUGUUUGGAAAAUACCCCACUAUAAUAUCUUCACGAAGAAAAUUGAUCCCCGUUAACUAGCGUGAUUAGCUUAGUUUCUUAAAUUCAACGUUCGUUUGGUUAAUUGUCUGUUAGUUUAGAAUUUUGAUUAGCCAAUAAAACAAUGAGUUUUAUUGUUUAAUAAGGCAAGUUGAAAUAAAUUCAAUCCUACUCACAGAAAAAUUUAAAUGACACAUAUCAUAAUCUUUUUCAUAUCUUCAGAAAAAUUAAAUCAUAAGAGGAUCAUGAACAAUUUGAUGAUGCUCUGAAAUAUAGUCUUCUGUUUUUCAAGGAAAAAAUAAGGAAGUUAAAAACAUGUUUAUCAGGUUUUUCAGAGAUCAUUUUGACGUUUUUGUUUAAAAACAUGAAAAUUGUUCUUAUUCUCGUAAAACAGAAAAAAUUAUCUGGCCGGUUAGCUAAUUAUUCUUGUUCUUCUGUUCUUUUUUAUUUGAAUUGUUUCUCCCUUUUCCAUUCAUUUUUCACUAUGAAAUUAAUUACUAAUUAAUCUACAGUUAGUUUCUCUACAGCUAAUAGGAACGUGAUUUAUGCCCGAAGACUCGCAUCUUUUUUAUUCAUUAUCUACAGUGCCUCACCUCCAAUCUAUGUAUAGGCGGACAUGCAUAUUUAUUAUAUCAAAUAAGUUAUUGAUGGAAAUUUCACUUUCGAAAUAGAGAAUUAUCCUUAAUUAAAUCUUUGUGGGCCUAAAUUCGAGUAAGAUUUAAUGAUGUAUGAUUCAAAAUUAUUGAAAUCGGACAUUUUAAACAAGAAAAAAAUAAAAAAUCUUGUUCUCUUUUUUAAAUAAUAAAUUUCAUUUUGAUGGAUUUUUAAUAUUAAAUUAGACAUUUGCUAAAUUGGCUCAAAUAUAAUAGAUCUUAGACCUUGCUUUUAAUGGAUUUAAUUAGGUUUUGGGCAUUUAAAUUAUACAACUGGAGACAGAAUUUAUAAAUAGAUAAGAUUCUAAUGUGAUUUUAAAAUAAUUUUGAACUUGAACUUGAACUUGAUGCAUUUAAUUAAUCCAGAAAGGUAAAUUUAUAAUUUCAACUUUUAAAUAAAACAUAUCCUUUGGAUUUUUUACAUAAACUAGAGGCAAUUGUACAAUAUUUACUUGACUAGUGGUAUAUAUCCCAAAUUUUUUAUCCUAAGAAAUGCCACAUCAUUUGGUUGAUGAGGAUAAUAUAAUUAAUUCACUUAGAUAUUAUAAAAAAUUAUCAACCAAUCAAUGAAUAACAUAUCAUUUUCAUUGGGAUGAAAUUUGAAAAAAAAAUUUAGGACGUCUAUCAUUACUUUAGUAAGAAAGCAUAUUAAGAUGGACUGACAUGUUUGGAUGCCCCAGCCUAAGAUGCAAGAGAUCAAUUUCUUUUGUUGUCUUGAAAUCCCUACUAUUUGACUCAACAACAUUGGCAACAUUUAACUCAUUACUACUAGAACAAAAAGAUAUCAUAGACAAAGGAUUGCUAAUGCAAUUUAUUGACUCAUACUCUAAAGAUAGAGGUAACUCAACAGCACAUUCAAUCUUGCGCUACUCAUGCACAUUAGCUCAUAUAGCCUAUCUUUAGUCACUCCUUUCAUUAGGAUUUUCACUUGGCUAAAGCAAGUAGAUUUUUGAAGCACAACAUCAAUAUCAUUAUCACGGAACAAUUUUGAGACAUUAAUAAGGUUCUUAGUAAUGCUAGGCACAGACAACGAGCUGUUUAGUUUAAUCUGUUUGUGUGGAUCAUAAGUGAGCAAUAUAGAGUAUCCAAUAUGAGAAAUCAAAAGUUUAUCACCAUUUCCAACAGUAGCUCAUCAUUACCUUGAUAUUAUGAAUUAAAGCUCAUGCUUCCAAUAGCACUGGUUGCAUGAUUUGUAGCACCAUUGUCAAGGUACCAAGCUCUACUAUUCUCACCGUCAACUGCAACCACAUAUGCUCUUCUUGGAUCUCUUCUUCUAUUUGGCUGUGGAACUGAUAUGAACCCUAUUAAGAACUAACAUGACCCUAACCAAUUUAGUCUCUAAGAUUGAAACCAAUUUUUUAUUUUUUUUAGAAGAGAUUGAAACCAAAUCUAAAAUUGAAUGGAACCGCGAUUUGAUCUCAAUGAAAGUACGAACCUUGGUAUGUGAUGACGUCACAAUUAGCUAUGGAUGAUCUUAUUGAUAAGUCAAGAGUUUGAACGCCACAGAAAUGCGAUAAAUUCAAAGGGUUAGUUUAAGAACCAAAGAGAAUUAGCUUUCUCACCAAUUGCAUCAAAAUUGAUGCCUUUCUUAUUGGAUACGAGUACAUUAGAUAGGGUUGGUUUAUAAGAAUUUUAAGAAAUAAAUCCUAAACCAAAAUCAAAUCAGAAUCCUAAUUUAAAGCAAAUAAUGAAAGAAACUAAAUCAAACCAGAAUCCUUAUUGGCUUAAAUGCCUUGCAUCAAUUAAAAAUGGAAACAAGGCAAUUAAAAGAGAAAUAAUUGAUUCGUUUUGCCACUUGCCUACUCAAGAAAUGGGAAAGUAUCCUAAAAGGAAAGUAGUAUAUUUUCCAAACGAGAAAACAUCUGAUAAGGUAAAUAAUGUAUUUUCUAGCCAUAAUGUGCAAACCAACUUGCUGAUUUUAUGGAAAUGAUUAUGUGGAAACUUAAAAAGCCUGAAUCACGUAUUUAGUGGUCUGAAUAUCAUGUGCGCUUUCUUCAACGGGCCUCCACGAAUUUGAUUGAGCUCAAGUUGCUUAAAUCAACCCAUUAAGCGAUUUUUUGAAUUUUUUUGCACGAGCUCUUGUGAUGGGUCCAACAGGAACUUGAAUGGGAUAUGAAUAUACCUCAUCCCAUGUGCUUGUGACAGUUUUGUCCUCAAUAUCAUAUUUUUUCCUUCAAAGAAACAAUUUUGCUUCAUAUGGAAAAGGAAAUUCUUAUGUAGCCUUACAUGAUUUAUACAUAAACUCAUAAUAUUUGUGUAGUCCUUCAUGAACAUGUGAAAUAUACACUUAUAUAGUGAAUCCUUCAUGAACAAGAUGUUAGUGAAUAACAUCAUAAUUUUGGAAUAGUCUUUCAGGAACAUAUUUUGAAAGAAAAUCUUCAUUAUGUAUAGUGCGAUCCUUAGAGAUGCAUUCUUAAUUUUCUUUCAUUAUAUAUUAUAAUAUUCAUACUUUAGGAUGAAUAUUUUGAAUUUCAAGAAUAGAAAAUAUAUAAUAGCAAUUGAAUAUUAUAAUAUAAAAAAUCAAACAAUAACAAAAUCAAUCAAUGGAACAUUAAAUAAAUGUUGGAAUCCAAAUCUCAUAAAAUAUAUGUAAUCAUUAAUAAAGGAAGUAUUAGAACAAGAAUCAAUCGGUCCUUGAUCUUAGCCACUAACUUAGCAUAUUGUAAUAUUCAUUCUCCUUUAUAUUCUUUCCUUUUCUAUUAUUUGACCGUUUGGUACUUGCCUUAGAUGAUUCUAGUAUUUUUGUAUAUAAGGAUCUUGUACACAGCAACAAAUAUAUAUGAGCAUUUCCACAAUUCUUUACAUGGUAUCAGAGAAAAUUUUGCUCAUUUAUGCUUUUCUCUUUGACAAUCAUGUCUAGUAGUUUGAAUCCAAUAUCAGAAACAUCAAAUUCCCUCAUUACCGAUGCUUCUUCACCAUACUUUCUUCAUUCAUCUGAUCAUCCUGGAGCCAUUCUUGUAUCUAAUGUGCUAACAGGUGAUAAUUAUUCAACAUGGAAAAUAUCCAUGAAGAUGGCAUUAAAUGCCAAAAACAAAUUGGGUUUUAUUGAUGGAAGCAUACAAAAACCUUCAUCAACCUCACAAGAUUUAAAAACUUGGGAGCGAUGCAAUGACAUGGUCCUUUCAUGGAUGCUCAAUGGAAUAGAGAAAAAUCUUGCCAACAGCCUCAUUUAUUGUGAUACUCCACGCUCUCUUUGGCUUGGGUUGGAAGAACGUUUUUCACAAAGUAAUAAUCCACGGAUUUAUGAACUUAAGAGAGCCAUAUGCAAUCACUAGCAAGAGCAAAAAUCAUUAGUGAUUUAUUUUAAUACUUUGAAAUUUUAUUAGGAUGAAUUGUCCACAUUAACCACUAUUUCUUCUUGCAAGUGUGAAACUUCAUAUGAAUUGCAGGGAUUACUAGAGACUGAAAAGGUGUUUCAAUUCCUAAUGGGUCUCAAUGAUUCAUAUUCUUCGGUACGAAGUCAAAUCUUAGCCAUGGAACCACUUCCAAAUGUUGGAAAAACAUAUUCAAUUAUUCAUCAGGAAGAACGUCAACGACUUCUCCAUGUUUCCAGUCAACCAUCCAUUGAAUCAACAGCCUUGACAGCCAAUAAUAAGACUCAAAUGACCAGCUGUCAAAAUCAUUCACAUCCUAGCCAUUUGCAUGGAGUACAAGAGACACAAGGACGGGGUAGACCUUUCUGCGAUCAUUGCCAGAAAUAUGGGCAUAUAAAAGCCAAAUGUUACAAAAUUGUUGGCUAUCCACCAAACUGGAAACAUUCAAAUCGAUCGCAUGUUGCUGCUCCUACAACCACAAAGCCACAACAACUAGAUGAUCAUCCCAUUCCAACAGACAAGAAUUCCUGGUCUACUAUCCAAAUUCCUGGUCUCACGGCUGAACAAUAUCAACAAUUAUUAUCUAUACUUUCAACAAGUGAGCAACCAUCUACUGCAAACUUAGCUGGUAAAAUCAUUCCUUUUUGCAAUUCUGCUAUUAACUCAUAUAAUAAUUCUUGGAUAAUUGAUAGUGGGGCAUCUGAUCACAUGACCCCUAAUAUUUCUUCCUUUAAAAAUUUUGUGCCCAUGUCUCAUGUCAAACCCGUGAGACUACCAAAUGGCACAACUGUUCCUACAACAAAAUGUGGAUCCAUUAAAUUAUCCUCCUCUUUGACUUUAGAUAAUGCCUUAUUGGUUCCUCAUUUUAAUUUUAAUCUAUUAUCUGUAAGCAAGCUAACCAAGGAUUUGAACUGUGCUGCUAUAUUUUUUUCCUUCAUUUUGUGUUUUUUAGGACCUUUCAACGAAGAAGCUGAUUGGAAAGGGUGAAGUUUGGGAUGGACUAUAUUAUUAUGAGCUUAUCAAUGGUCAUUCUUCCCUUCCUUCAGUAAUGAACGUUGCAACGGAACCCAAUUCCAAUCUUUGACAUUUGUGACUCGGUCACCCUUCUAAAGACCGAAUGCAGCGUUUGUCUUUUAUUUCUGAUAUUGCAUCAUUUAAUUCUUGUUGUGAAAUUUGUCAACUUUCAAAAAACACUAGAAGUUCAUUUCAAUUGAAUAAAAAUCGUUCUGAUAUGCCAUUUCAAUUAAUUUUUUGUGAUAUUUGGGGACCUCAUCGCACAUCUACAUAUACGGGAGCAUAUUAUUUUCUUACUAUUGUUGAUGACCAUACUCGUUGUACUUGGGUUUACCUCAUACGGCACAAGUUUGAAGCUUUUCAAUUAUUAAAAAAUUUUUACUUCUUGAUCAAGACACAAUUUCACACACAAAUUAAAAAAAAAAUUUGUAUUAAUCAAGGAAGUGAAUUUUUAUCAAAUCAGAUGCAAUUUUUUUCAUGAGCAUGGCAUCUUGCAUGAACACACUUGUGUUGAAACACCUCAACAAAAUGGGGUAGCAGAACGCAAGUAUCGACAUAUUUUAGAAGUUGCACGUGCAUUAUGUUUUCAAGCACAUUUACCUUUGUCUUUCUGAGGAGAUUGUGUUUUAGUUGCAACCCAUUUGAUUAAUCGUAUACCCACUCCUAAUCUUGGUGGUCAAUCACCUUAUGAAAUGCUUUUUAAGACUAAACCUCACUAUGAUCGUCUUCGUGUCUUUGGCUGUCUUUGUUAUGCUCAUACCAACAGUGCUAAUCGUCAUAAAUUUGCUCCCCGUGCUACCAAGUGUAUAUUUGUUGGUUACCCAUUUGGGUAUCUCGGAUACAAAGUUUAUGAUAUCAUUAAUAAAAAGACUUUUAUUUCUCGUGAUGUUACUUUUGUGGAAACUGAAUUCCCAUUCAAAACUAUCACCAAUCAACAAGAAAAUAGCAAUCUUUUACCUCUUCCUAUCAUACUUCCUGCCAAUGAAAAUGCACAGCUCCUUCCAACUUCUUCCAAUGAAAAGCUACUCCACCAAGGUACAUCUGAUUCAAUAGUUCUCCCUUCUCCACCUCUUCGACGAUCCCAACGACAGUCUUGUCGUCCAAAUUAUCUUCAGAAUUAUAUUUUCUCUACUGCACUUCACGGUACAUUUGGCAACUCUAUUACUUUUACUAAUCAUCCACCAUUGGUAAGUUCUUUAUAUCCAUUAUCCAAGUAUUUAUCAUAUGACAAGUUUUCUAGUGAUCAUGUAGCCUUUCUUUAAGCUAUAUCUCACGGUGUUGAACCAACUACAUAUUCUCAAGCCGUUCAACAUGCUUAUUGGCGCAAUGCUAUGGAUAUAGAGAUUAAAGCUUUGGAGCAAAGUAACACUUGGACAAUACAAGAUCUACCCCCCGGCAAGAAACCAAUUGGUUGUAAAUGAGUGUUUAAAAUUAAAAGAAAAGCUGAUGGUUCUAUUGAUAGAUACAAAGCAUGCCUUGUUGCUAAAGGAUACACACAAACUGAAGGUUUGGAUUACCAUGAGACAUUUGCACCUGUUGCAAAACUUGUGACUGUUAGAUGUGUAUUGGCAAUGGCAGCUAUUCGAGGGUGGUUAUUAUUUCAGUUAGAUGUUCAUAAUGCAUUUCUUCAUGGCGACUUGCAUGAGGAAAUUUAUAUGACCUUACCUCCAGGAGUUCGUAAACAGGGGGAGUCUUAUCAAUUUUGUCGGUUAAACAAGUCCCUUUAUGGUCUUAAGCAAGCUUUUCAAAAAUUGGUUUGAAAAAUUCUCAUCCGCUCUUAAACAAAUUGGUUACAUUCAAUCUUGUGCUGAUUCUUGUUUAUUUACUAAUAUGCACGAUUCUCAUUUUACAUUGGUGCUUGUGUAUGUUGAUGAUAUAAUAAUUGCUGGUAACCAUCUUGACACUAUAACUGCAUUGAAGAUAUUUUUACAGGCUCAAUUUCAUAUUAAAGACUUGGGAACUUUGAAAUAUUUUUUAGGAAUUGAAGUGGCUCGUUCAAAGCAAGGGAUUUUCUUAAAUCAAAGGAAAUAUGCUUUAGAUAUACUUCAAGACAGUGGACAAUUAGGCACACGGCCAUCUUCUUUUCCAAUGGAAUAAAACUUGAAGCUCUCUAACGAUCAAGGAACCCUUUGUCAAAAUCCUGACCACUACUAACCACUGUCAUAGGAUGUCUCAUCUAUUUGACAAUCACCCGGCCAGAAAUUACAUAUGCUGUGAACAUACUUAGUCAAUUUAUGCACACUCCAAGACGACCACAUUAUGAUGUUGCCCUGCGUGUCUUACGUUACAUUAGAUCUUCUCCCGGCGCUGGUAUCCUCUUGUCCUCCGCUAGCUCUUUGGAACUCUCUGCCUUCUCAGAUUCAGAUUGGGCAAGUUGCCCCAUGACCCGUCGAUCCACCACUGAAUAUAUUAUCAUGCUCGGCAACAAUCCUAUUUCUUGGAAAACCAAGAAGCAACCAUUUGUAUCGCGCUCUUCCGCUGAAGCUGAAUAUCGAGCAAUGGCGACAACAACAUGUGAAUUGGUUUGGUUGAAAACUCUACUUCAUGAUCUUCAUGUGACCCAUCCAAUGCCUAUAACUUUACAUUGUGACAAUCAAGUUGUGCUUCAUAUCGCUGCGAAUCCCAUCUUCCAUGAGCGUACCAAGCACAUAGAAAUAGACUGCCAUCUUGUUCGUGAAAAGCUUCAUGCCAAAAUCAUUUCCUUAACUUAUGUGCCUUCACGACAACAAUUGGCUGACAGUUUUACCAAAGUUCUUGGUAAAGAUCAAUUUCAAUAUCUUCUUGGCAAGUUGGGAGUUACGGAUCUUCACUUUCCAACUUGAGGGGGAGUAUUAGAACAAGAAUCAAUCGGUCCUUGAUCUUAGCCACUAACUUAGCAUAUUGUAAUAUUCAUUCUCCUUUAUAUUCUUUCCUUUUCUAUUAUUUGACUGUUUGGUACUUGCCUUAGAUGAUUAUAGUAUUUUGGUAUAUAAGGAUCUUGUACACAGCAACAAAUAUAUAUGACCAUUUCCACAAUUCUUUACAGGAAGUAAGGAACAACUUCAUAGAUCCAUUAUUCUUAAAUUAUAAAAAUACAUAAACAACAUAUGUAUAUGAUUUUAGACAAAUCAAGAUAGUUUAAUUCAUACCUUUGUGAGUGAGAUCAAAGGAGGGAUAUUAUCAUAUUACCUCUUAAUGGCUAGAGACUCGUGUUGAUAAUGUGUUAUAUCAUUUAUCAAUUGGGAGUGCAACAAUAUAGCAAGAGAAAUAAAGAAGGCAAAUAAGAGACACAAUGUUUAGAGGGGAAUUUUAUUCAAUCUCAAAUAUAUACAAAUAGGAAGCAAAGGCCUGCUUUUAUAGUGAUACAAGCAUAAAGUAGUAAGUAAUACCUCGUAAUUAUAAGAGAUGACAAUCCUCAGAUUAGGGAGAUAAUGAGAGUUAUAAAAGAUGGAAAGUUACUUGUGAGGAGAUCGAAGAUUGCUUUGAUGAACAUCCACAUAUAUUAUAAUAAUUUCAUAACAUACAUUUACUUUUAAUUUAUUUUUAAGGUUAAUUGGUUAAUAAGCUUCUUGUGUAGUAGAUUGAUUAAUGUGCCCAAGAAUAUUGUUGGAUGCUAUUAUUUUAAAGGCAAAGAAAAAUAAGGCAUAAGUGUCACAUGUUCAAUAGCAGGGAUGUUUUGAGGAAUUUCUUAAAAUAAAAAGACUAAGUAGAUCUUUAGCCCAAAAUAUAGGGAUUAAGCAAGCAUUCAUCCUAUUGAAAAGCAAAGUAAACUAAUGUAACCAUAAUUGAAUAUAAAGUUAACUCUUCUAUGGCAUUAUAGAGAACAAAAGAAGGAAAAAUAUUAUUCAAAUUCAAGAUAAGAAGGUAGUUUAUUAACUGUCUAAAGUUCAAAAUUUUAUUAAUUUCAGACCUUUUUUAAAAUUUACUUAUUUGUUUUUUUGUAACUUAUGUUUGAUUUUUAGAUAUUUACAUCUGAAUAGAAAAAGUAAGAUUUUUUGACUUUUAUCUAAAUGGAAAAAGAUCUGAAUGAUUAGUAAAUAUUAUAUUCCAUAAAUAUCUCUAUAAAAUAACUUAUUUCCUAAUCUAUAAAAUAGAAUCCCCUUUUUUUAUUUUGAUUUACAAGGACGUAAAUGUCAAAGAACUAAGUUUAAGAUGUUUUUUAUUAUAAAAACAAAUAAGAUGCCACUUACAUUCAUAUAUUAAAAAAUGAAAAACAAACAUGUGAUUCAAAUUUUCGUAUUCAAACCCAUUCAAACUUGAAAAAAAUUUAGACACAUUCAAAUUUCAGACAAAAAAGACAAAUACUACUUCAAUUUUUUUUUCGCUUUGCAACUGCCCACUGCUAACCAAAUAAAAAAAGAUUUUCAAUUUGGAAUUAUGUUAUCCAACAUAUGAAGACAAUUCUUCCUUUGAACGAAUCUUUAUGAUUGUUUUCUGAACGAAUAUUGCUCUAAAUUAAAAUAUUUUAGAACAAAAAAUAGUUGAUUGCCAAAUGUACAAUAGGUACAAUUUUCUUUUUUCAGCUCUCUUUUGGAAGAGAACUAUGUCGUCCUUUAUAAUUAUUAUUUCUUGAAAGAAUACAAACUUAAAUUACUGGCUUUUUAUUUGUAAAAUCAUAUAAAAUAGACUCUUUUAAGGAAAAUAUCUCAUACCGGAGAUAAUAAUUUCUGGACUAAGAAUAUAAACUUAAAACAGCACUACUAUCAAAUUAUCUUUAAAAGAGUUCCUUGAUCAAAAGAAUUUAUUUAUCAUUUUUCACAGUUUAAAAAAAUAAAAAAAAUUACAUAGAAAUAAUUGGAAGAUUUCCUAAAUAAGCAUCAAAUAAAUGCUAAUUUAUUGCAUGAUACUUGGAAGAAACCAUAAAUAAAAAUUAAGGAUUUAUAAUUUUAAAGACAAGUUGGGAGUUUAAAUUUUCUUGCCAUCUUGAGGGAGAAUAAUAAGACCGAAAUAAUAUUGAUGAAACAAAAUAAUCAAUCAAAUAUUUGAUUGUCUUCAUCUUAAUCAGUGAUCAAGAAAAAUUGGUUGUUAAUUAACAUAAAAAUUGAUUGACUCAAUAUUUACUAAUAGAUCAUUAUUCCCAAAUUAUGUUAAUUAUAUAUAUUUCAAAUACUUAUAAGAAUUGAGUUUGCUUACGGUUUAUUAAAUAUAGUCUCUUAAAAGUUUACAUGUGGCCCAUACAAAGCUAACAUUACUCUGUUAUAGCAUUUCGGGCAUCCAACAAGAUCCUCUUCUUCACUUAUUGUUAGAACUAGAGCUAACAAAUUAAUUACUUAAUCACGGCUAAGUUUGGAAUUAAAAUCAAACUAAAUUAUCUAAUUGGUUGAGUUCGGUUUCCGUUUGUAUGGGCUACAUGAAAUUUUUUCUCUCAUCUUCUCUCGUCUGCUAAUCGCAUCUUUCUCUCUUUCGACUCUCUAAUUUCUCUCUUGGAUUUGGUUACCAAGCACAUAAAAUUGAAGCCACCAUCUCGCUCAUAACAAACAACUAGUCGGAUCCACCAAACUGUUGCUGUCAUCUUGAGCCAUUCAAGUAACUUGAACACAUCAUCUUCUCGUAAAUUCUCUUUCAUUUUCGAAUUAAAGACAAGGUAAGGAUGUAAUCUUGACUUUUGUGUUUUUUGUGAUGACUACAGAAAAUGCUAUAUGAAACAAUUAGGGAUUUAUGUGCUAUAUAAUAAUAAUAAUAAUAAUAAUAAUAACAACAACAACAACAACAACAACAAGUAGUCAUUUAUGAAUUUUGAGUGAAAAAUUAGGGAUUUAUGUGCUUCUUCUUCUUCUUCUUCUUCUUCUUCUUAUUAUUAUUAUUAUUAUUAUUAUUAUUAUUAUUAUUAUUAUUAUUAUUAUUAUUUUCCCUAUAUUAAACAAGUAGUCAUUUAUGAAUUUUGAGUGAAAAAUUCACUCGGCUGUGGCAGAUUUUGUGCCUUACAAGUAGUCGAUUUCACGCAUUCAUCAUCACCAUUACUAUGUUCAUUAUUAUUUGCUAUUGUUUUUUACUUUUUCUGCUGUUAUUGAUUAAAUUGACAUUAAAUUUAUGUCUUGUCCAUUACAAGACUUAACAAUAUAAUCCAGGUGUAACAUGGACACUACAGAUGAUACAAGUGCGCAAGACCUAGUCAGAGAGCGUAGUACACUUUUUGUAAGUAUAAACUAAUUGAUAUUUUUCGAGUUGUUAUGUUAGCAACCAUUUUAAAAACACUUUUGUUUUCGAAUUUUGGUUACGUUGAAGUGAAGGGGAUUGAGUUGCCAUUAAAAAUUAAAGUAUUUUGGUCUUUAUAAACAAAGCGCUUUUGUGGAAUAGAUCUAAGAAGAUGCUAAUCUUCUUAAUAAUUUUUUUUUUUUUUAAAUUCUAUUACUCUUGGUGCAACAAAUUUCCUAGUGCCAAAACCUUGUCAUAAAAAAAAAAGAAAAAAAAAAAGAAAACAGAAAAAGAGUGAAAAUCUCUUCGGUCAACCAAAUUACUCAAAUUCGUAAAAUAAUAUAAUACUUGAACCUUAAAAAUAAAAGCUCUAUAUAUUACUAUAUAAACAGUGAUAAACACAAUUACUAUCUAAGCCCACUCGAAAUUUUAUCAUACAGUCGUAUAUUUAUCACCUUAUGUACGUAUAUUGUAAUUUGGAUACGUUAUUUAAUUGUAUUUAUAUUGUGUAUAUUUACCACAUUAUGUACGUAUAUAAAAUAUAACGUAUAUUGUGUAAACUUUACUUUUGAGCUAAGUAUUUUCCUGAAAAAGGAAAUAAAUCAAUAAAAAUUAUUGUGUGUCAACAUAUUGGUUAUAUUAGUCUAUACACGUCGGUUUUAAUUACGAUAUCUCUUCCUAAAUAUUUUACUUUUUUUGAAAGUAACUCAAAAAUUUGUUGUAUAAAAAACACUAUCACUUUCAAUCAUAUGAUGGUUACAUUUUAAUCAUUUAUUCAUAACGUCCUCCUGGACCUCCAUUGGGGAUAUUAUAGUGUGUCAUUCUGUAACCCAGAACUAUCAUUUCUUCCACCUCUACGAUAUCUUGUAAUGUUACUUGCAGCUUCAUAAGCCACAGAAACAUCAUCAAAAUCAACAAAUUGUUUUCUUUUCUUUUUUUUUAGGAAAGUAAUAAGAAAAAUAAAAGCUGCAUUAUUCUAUUUAUGAUCAAUAGAAGAAUUCAAGUGACUGGAGAAAAUUCAGAUUGUUGAAAAUGGGUUCUCAAACGAGAUAAGCCUCAGGUAGUAGACCUCACCAACAUCAGUACCAGACUCAAUCCAUAGAAUCGGUCUCGUCUUAAGCCUAACAGCUCCCUUCUAAUAUAAUCUAGUGAGAACGGUGAGGUGCUUGGUAUAUCAUACACCAAAAAUCAACGAUGCUUGGACUUUCAAGAAAAAGAGAAAAACAAAUGCAUGCACGGGGAAACGUACUAAUCAAAAGCAAAUCAUAUAAUUUACAAAUUAUUAUAGGCUUGUAGCCAUAAGAUCGAGAGAAACUAAAACAUUUCUUGCAUUUUCUGGCCAUAUUUUCUAAAUGAAGGGAUGGUCCAUUGCUGCUCCGCCAUACUGGAUCUCAAGAUGUCAUUAACAAUAGGUCUCAAGAUGUCCCUAACAAGGUGUCACUCUGAUACCGACAGGUCUACCACUUAGACAUAACACUUGCCAUGUAAAAUGUUCUCCUAUUUUUGCUAUUUCCUUCGUAUCUUGCAUUGAAUUAUUGCCAGCAAAUGAUAUUUCGAGUCAAAAAAGUAUAUUCAAUUAUUGCAUAUAUGCUCCUAGGUAAUUUGCACAAUUGAAUUAUAGCUGUUAAUCUACUUAUUUACACAAUUGAUUAAUUGUACGCAUCCAUUGCAAGACUUUCGCACUAAGUUUCAAUUUCAACCACAAAUCCUAGCUCUAGAUAAAAAUGAUGUGGUCGUAGAGAUUUCGAAUGUAUUCACUUUGUGAUUAACGGAAGCAUUGCUUUCAUUUGUAAGACGUUGUCAUCACAGAUUAAUUAAUUAAUCAUCAUUUUGGUAAAGGAAAAAGAAUGAAAAAAGCUGCACUAUUUUAAAGGCCAUUUGGUAUAUGACCACUUCGCAUUGGACUUGGAGACCGGGUAAUUUUGUCAUCUCUACUCCAAGAAUCUGCUCUCAUGCUACUUGCAUGGUUCCAUCUUUGAAGUCUGGUACUGUUUUGUUUGGAAAAUACCCCACUAUAAUAUCUUCACGAAGAAAAUUGAUCCCCGUUAACUAGCGUGAUUAGCUUAGUUUCUUAAAUUCAACGUUCGUUUGGUUAAUUGUCUGUUAGUUUUAGAAUUUUGAUUAGCCAAUAAAACAAUGAGUUUUAUUGUUUAAUAAGGCAAGUUGAAAUAAAUUCAAUCCUACUCACAGAAAAAUUUAAAUGACACAUAUCAUAAUCUUUUUCAUAUCUUCAGAAAAAUUAAAUCAUAAGAGGAUCAUGAACAAUUUGAUGAUGCUCUGAAAUAUAGUCUUCUGUUUUUCAAGGAAAAAAUAAGGAAGUUAAAAACAUGUUUAUCAGGUUUUUCAGAGAUCAUUUUGACGUUUUUGUUUAAAAACAUGAAAAUUGUUCUUAUUCUCGUAAACCAGAAAAAAUUAUCUGGCCGGUUAGCUAAUUAUUCUUGUUCUUCUGUUCUUUUUUAUUUGAAUUGUUUCUCCCUUUUCCAUUCAUUUUUCACUAUGAAAUUAAUUACUAAUUAAUCUACAGUUAGUUUCUCUACAGCUAAUAGGAACGUCAUUUAUGCCCGAAGACUCGCAUCUUUUUUAUUCAUUAUCUACAGUGCCUCACCUCCAAUCUAUGUAUAGGCGGACAUGCAUAUUUAUUAUAUCAAAUAAGUUAUUGAUGGAAAAUAUCACUUUCGAAAUAGAGAAUUAUCCUUAAUUAAAUCUUAGUGGGCCUAAAUUCGAGUAAGAUUUAAUGAUGUAUGAUUCAAAAUUAUUGAAAUCGGACAUUUUAAACAAGAAAAAAAAUAAAAAAUCUUGUUCUCUUUUUUAAAUAAUAAAUUUCAUUGUGAUGGAUUUUUAAUAUUAAAUUAGACAUUUGCUAAAUUGGCUCAAAUAUAAUAGAUCUUAGACCUUGCUUUUAAUGGAUUUAAUUAGGUUUUGGGCAUUUAAAUUAUACAACUGGAGACGGAAUUUAUAAAUAGAUAACAUUCUAAUGUGAUUUUAAAAUAAAUUUGAACUUGAACUUGAUGCAUUUUAUUAAUCCAGAAAGGUAAAUUUAUAAUUUCAACUUUUAAAUAAAACAUAUCCUUUGGAUUUUUUACAUAAACUAGAGGCAAUUGUACAAUAUUUACUUGACUAGUGGUAUAUAUCUCAAAUUUUUUAUCCUAAGAAAUGCCACAUCAUUUGGUUGAUGAGGAUAAUAUAAUUAAUUCACUUAGAUAUUAUAAAAAAUUAUCAACCAAUCAACGAAUAACAUAUCAUUUUCAUUGGGAUGGAAUUUGGAAAAAAAAAUUUAGGACGUCUAUUAUUACUUUAGUAAGAAAGCAUAUUAAGAUGGACUAACAUGUUUGGAUGCCCCAGCCUAAGAUGCAAGAGAUCAAUUUCUUUUGUUGUCUUGAAAUCCCUACUAUUUGACUCAACAACAUUGGCAACAUUUAACCAAUUACUACUAGAACAAAAAGAUAUCAUAGACAAAGGAUUGCUAAUGCAAUUUAUUGACUCAUACUCUAAAGAUAGAGGUAACUCAACAGCACAUUCAUUCUUGCUACUCAUGCACAAUAGCUCAUAUAGCCUAUCUUUAGUCACUCCUUUCAUUUGGAUUUUCACUUGGCUAAAGCAAAUAGAUUUUUGAAGCACAACAUCAAUAUCAUUAUCACGGAACAAUUUUGAGACAUUAAUAAGGUUCUUAAUAACGCUAGGCACAGACAACGAGCUAUUUAGUUUAAUCUGUUUGUGCGGAUCAUAAGUGAGCAAUAUAGAGUAUCCAAUAUGAGAAAUCAAAAGUUUAUCACCAUUUCCAAUAGUAGCUCAUCAUUACCUUGAUAUUCUAAAUUAAAGCUCAUGCUUCCAAUAGCACUGGUUACAUGAUUUGUAGCACCACUGUCAAGGUACCAAGCUCUACUAUUCUCACCGUCAACUGCAACCACAUAUGCUCUUAUUGGAUCUCUUCUUCUAUUUGGCUGUGGAACUGAUAUGAACCCUAUUAAGAACUAACAUGACCCUAACCAAUUUAGUCUCUAAGAUUGAAACCAUUUUUUUUUUUUUUAGAAGAGAUUGAAACCAAAUCUAAAAUUGAAUGGAACCGCGAUUUGAUCUCAAUGAAAGUACGAACCUUGGUAUGUGAUGACGCCACAAUCAGCUAUGGAUGAUCUGAUUGAUAAGUCAAGAGUUUGAACGCCACAGAAAUCCGAUAAGUUCAAAGGGUUAGUUUAAGAACCAAAGAGAAUUAGCUUUCUCACUAAUUGCAUCAAAAUUGAUGUCUUUCUUAUUGGAUACAAGUACAUUAGAUAGGGUUGGUUUAUAAGAAUUUUAAGAAAUAAAUCCUAAACCAAAAUCAAAUCAGAAUCCUAAUUUAAAGCAAAUAAGGAAAGAAACUAAUUCAAACCAUAAUCCUUAUUGGCUUAAAUGCCUUGCAUCAAUUAAAAAUGGAAACAAGGCAAUUAAAAGAGAAAUAAUUGAUUCGUUUUGCCACUUGCCUACUCAAGAAAUGGGAAAGUAUCCUAAAAGGAAAGUUUUUUCCAAACGAGAAACAUCUGAUAAGGUAAAUAAUAUAUUUUCUAGCCAUAAUGUGCAAACCAACUUGCUGAUUUCAUAGAAAUGAUUAUGUGAAAACUUAAAAAGCCUGAAUCACGUAUUUAGUGGUCUAAAUAUCAUGUGCGAUUUCUUCAACGGGGCUCCACGAAUUUGAUUGAGCUCAAGUUGCUUAAAUAAACCCAUUAAGCGAUUUUUUGAAUUUUUUUGCACGAGCUCUUAUGAUGGGUCCAACAAGAACUUGAAUGGGAUAUGAAUAUACCUCAUCUCAUGUGCUUGUGACAGUUUUGUCCUCAAUAUCAUAUUUUUUCCUUCAAAGAAACAAUUUUGCUUCAUAUGGAAAAGGAAAUUCAUAUGGAAAAGGAAAUUUUCCUUCAAAGAAAUAAUUUCAUAACAUACAUUUACUUUUAAUUUAUUUUUAAGGUUAAUUGGUUAAUAAGCUUUUUGUGUAGUAGAUUGAUUAAUGUGCCCAAGAAUAUUGUUGGAUGCUAUUAUUUUAAAAGCAAAGCAAAAUAAGACAUAAGUGUCACAUGUUCAAUAGUAGGGAUGUUUUGAGGAAUUUCUUAAAAUAAAAAGACUAAGUAAUCUUUAGCCCAAAAUAUAGGGAUUAAGCAAGCAUUCAUUCUAUAGAAAAGCAGAGUAAACUAAUGUAACCAUAAUUGAAUAUAAAGUUAACUCUUCUAUGGAAUUAUAGAGAACAAAAGAAGGAAAAAUAUUAUUCAAAUUCAAGAUAAGAAGGUAGUUUAUUAACUGUCUAAAGUUCAAAAUUUUAUUAAUUUCAGACCUUUUUUAAAAUUUGCUUAUUUGUUUUUUUGUAACUUAUGUUUGAUUUUUAGAUAUUUAUAUCUGAAUAGAAAAAGUAAGAUUUUUUUACUUUUAUAUAAAUGGAAAAAGGUCUGAAUGAUUAGUAAAUAUUAUAUUCCAUAAAUAUCUCUAUAAAAUAACUUAUUUCCUAAUCUAUAAAAUAGAAUCCCCUUUUUUUAUUUUGAUUUACAAGGACGUAAAUGUCAAAGAACUAAGUUUAAGAUGUUUUUUAUUAUAAAAACAAAUAAGAUGCCACUUACAUUUAGAUAUUAAAAAAUGAAAAACAAAUAUGUGAUUCAAAUUUUCGUAUUCAGACUAGAGAUGGCCAAUGGGCCGGGCGGCACGUGGCACGGCACGGGCACGGAAUGGGCACGGCACGUGUCCGUACGGCACGACACGGCACGAGCACGUUUCGGUGAGGCACGAGGCACGGCACGGCAUGCACGUGGGCUGUGCCGGGCCUAGAAUUUUAGGCACGCGGGCCUUAAAGCACGGCACGAUUAGAGAUGGGCCAAAGCACGGCACACGAAAAAGCACGUAAUAAGCACGGUUCAUUGGUGGGCUAGCACGCGGCCCGUGAGCCAUCAAUAGCACGUGGGCCAAAAUAUAUCUAAGUAAAUUUUUUUAACAAAAAGUAAAUAUAAAAUGUUAUGAAAUUAAAGUAAAAUAUCUUGAAAUUAAAUGUUUUAAUAUAUUUUUUAGCAUAGACUUCUAAAAAUUAAUUUAAAUCAUUAAAUCUUAGUUUAAAUAAAUAUUCUAAUUUUUUAUGUUUAUAAUUUAUCAAAUGAAUAAUUAAAUAUCAUGAUUUUAAUAAAUAAAUUAUAAAUAUCAUAAUUUUAUUUAUGAUAUUUAUUAAAUGAAUAAUGUUAUUUAUGAUAUUUAAUUUUAUUUAUGAUAUUUAUUUAAUUAUUUAUUUAUGUUUAUAAUUUAUUAAAUGAAUAAGUAAAUAACUAAAUAUCAUGAUUUUAAUAAAUAAAAUUAUAAAUAUCAUAAAUUUAUAAUUUAUAAAUAAAAAAUAAAUCUUUUUACAAAAUUAAUAAUAAAAUAUUUUUCAUAUGAAAUAUUUUUCAUAUUAAUAUUAAAUCAUAACUUAGUUAAUAUUUAAUAGAGAUACGUUUCAUUUGUGAAUGAAAUAUUUUUCAUAUUUAUACACAAGAAAAAAUUAUGAUAAAUUAAAAAUUACAUUUUCAUUAAAUGAAGUUAAAGUACAAUUAUAACUUGUAAGUUGUGACCUAUGAUUUGUUAUAUUAAUAUUUCGUAGUUAUGACUUAUUGUAGUGAUUAUUCGAGGAUUGUAUUUUUAAUUUUAAUUAAUUAUUAUUAUGAGCUAUGGAAUUAAAUUUAUGUAUUGUUGUGUUAUGAAUUAUGAUUGAUUAUUGUGAAAUAAAAUAUAUAGUUGUGAAAUUGUGAUAAACUAAUAAUAAAAUGUUAAUUGCUCUCUUAAUAAAAAUUAAUAUGAUUAUGAUUAUGAAUAUUAUUAUUAUUAUUAUUAUUAUUAUUAUUAUUAUUAUUAUUAUUAUUAUUAUUAUUAUUAUUAUUAUUAUGUUGGUGGGUUUAAAAAAGCACGUCAGGUAUGUGGGUUUGAAUAAAGCACGCCAGACACGUGGACUUUUUUAAGCACGCCAAAAAAACAAAGUUGAUGGGCUUUUUUUUGGGAACGGCCCACGGCACGGCACGAGCGGGCUCGUGCCGUGGGCCGUGCUGGGCUCAACUGAAAAAAAGGUAUGCACGGCACGGCACAGCCCACCACGAGCCCUUGUGGGCUGACAGUUUGCCGGCACGGCCCAUUGGCCAUAGUUAAUUCAGACCCAUUCAAACUUGAAAAAAAUUUAGACACAUUCAAAUUUCAGAUAAAAAAGACAAAUGCUACUUAAAUUUUUUUCGCUUUGCAACUGCCCACUGCUACACCAAAUAAAAAAAGAUUUUCAAUUUGGAAUUAUGUUAUCCAACAUAUGAAGACAAUUCUUCCUUUAAACGAAUCUUUAUGAUUGUUUUCUGAACGAAUAUUGCUCUAAAUUAAAAUAUUUUAGAACAAAAAAUAGCUGAUUGCCAAAUGUACAAUAGGUACAAUUUUCUUUUUUCAGCUCUCUUUUGGAAGAGAACUAUGGCGUCCUUUAUAAUUAUUAUUUCUUGAAAGAAUACAAACUUAAAUUACUGGCUUUUUAUUUGUAAAAUCAUAUAAAAUAGAUUCUUUUAAGGAAAAUAUCUCAUACCGGAGAUAAUAAUUUCUGGACUAAGAAUAUAAACUUAAAACAGCACUACUAUCAAACUAUCUUUAAAAGAGUUCCUUGAUCAAAAGAAUUUAUUUAUCAUUUUUCACAGUUAAAAAAAAUAAAAAAAAUUACAUAGAAAUAAUUUGAAGAUUUCCUAAAUAAGCAUCAAAUAAAUGCUAAUUUACUGCAUGAUACUUAGAAGAAACCAUAAAUAAAAAUUAAGAAUUUACAAUUUUAAAGACGAGCUGGGAGUUUUAAUUUUCUUGCCAUCUUGAGAGAGAAUAAUAAGACCAAAAUAAUAUUGAUGAAACAAAAUAAUCAAUCAAAUAUUUGAUUGUCUUCAUCUUAAUCAGUGAUUAAGAAAAAUUGGUUGUUAAUUAACAUAAAAAUUGAUUGACUCAAUAUUUAUUAAUAGAUCAUUAUUUCCAAAUUAUGUUAAUUAUAUAUAUUUCAAAUACUUAUAAGAAUUGAGUUUGCUUACGGUUUAUUAAAUAUAGUCUCUUAAAAGUUUUCAUGUGGCCCAUACAAAGCUAACAUUACUCUGUUAUAGCAUUUCGGGCAUCCAACAAGAUCCUCUUCUUCACUUAUUGUUAGAACUAGCGCUAACAAAUUAAUUACUUAAUCACGGCUAAGUUUGGAAUUAAAAUCAAACUAAAUUAUCUAAUUGGUUGAGUUCGGUUUCCGUUUGUAUGGGCUACACGAAAUUUUUUCUCUCAUCUUCUCUCGUCUGCUAAUCGCAUCUUUCUCUCUUUCGACUCUCUAAUUUCUCUCUUGGAUUUGGUUACCAAGCACAUAAAAUUGAAGCCACCAUCUCGUUCAUAACAAACAACUAGUCGGAUCCAUCAAACUGUUGCUGUCAUCUUGAGCCAUUCAAGUAACUUGAACACAUCAUCUUCUCGUAAAUUCUCUUUCAUUUUCAAAUUAAAGACAAGGUAAGGAUGUAAUCUUGACUUUUGUGUUUUUUGUGAUGACUACAGAAAAUGCUAUAUGGAACAAUUAGGGAUUUAUGUGCUUCUUCUUCUUCUUCUUCUUCUUCUUCUUCUUAUUAUUAUUAUUAUUAUUAUUAUUUUCCCUAUAUUAAACAAGUAGUUAUUUAUGAAUUUUGAGUGAAAAAUUCACUCGGCUGUGGCAGAUUUUGUGCCUUACAAGUAGUCGAUUUCACGCAUUCAUCAUCACCAUUACUAUGUUCAUUAUUAUUUGCUAUUGUUUUUUACUUUUUCUGCUGUUAUUGAUUAAAUUGACAUUAAAUUUAUGUCUUGUCCAUUACAAGACUUAACAAUAUAAUCCAGUUGUAACAUGGACACUACAGAUGAUACAAGUGCGCAAGACCUAGUCAGAGAGCGUAGUACACUUUUUGUAAGUAUAAACUAAUUGAUAUUUUUCGAGUUGUUAUGUUAGCAACCAUUUUAAAAACACUUUUGUUUUCGAAUUUUGGUUACGUUGAAGUGAAGGGGAUUGAGUUGCCAUUAAAAAUUAAAGUAUUUUGGUCUUUAUAAACAAAGCGCUUUUGUGGAAUAGAUCUAAGAAGAUGCUAAGAAUUGAGUUUGCUUACGGUUUGUAAUCUUGACUUUUGUGUUUUUUGUGAUGACUACAGAAAAUGCUAUAUGAAACAAUUAGGGAUUUAUGUGCUAUAUAAUAAUAAUAAUAAUAAUAAUAAUAAUAAUAAUUAUUAUUAUUAUUAUUAUUAUUAUUAUUAUUAUUAUUAUUAUUUUCCCUAUAUUAAACAAGUAGGCAUUUAUGAAUUUUGAGUGAAAAAUUCACUCGGCUGUGGCGGAUUUUGUGCCUUACAAGUAGUCGAUUUCACGCAUUCAUCAUCACCAUUACUAUGUUCACUAAAAUAUAACGUAUAUUGUGUAAACUCUACUAUAAACAAUUAAUAUUUGGUCAUAUUUCUUUUGGCAAAUAACCCCCUGGGAUUUCUUCUUUAUCGCAACAUGAAAUUGAAGAUAUUUAAAAGGUUUUGAAACGUUAUUUUUAUUGAAAGGAGUUGCCAUUUUUAAUUUUGGUUGCAAAUAAUAAUUCCUUGGUGGUUACAAUAUUUUUAAAUAUCCCCAUUAAGGCUGUAGGGGCUACAAAUCUUCAUUCUAGAUCUGUAACAUAUGACUAUGAAUUAUAUAUAAAUGAGCUAUUUUUCUUUAUCUUUGGAUAUAUUAUAUACUCUAUUGUUUUCUCCGAAACUCUACGAUAAACAAUUAAUACUUUUCUUUGCAACUUCGACAUUCAAAGACUUGGUUUAUUCUUCAGGUAAAUCGUGCUUAGGAAGAAGAGCGGCAUGAAGAUAUUUGGGUUGUAUUUUGGAGCUGCGAAAUACCGACAAUAUCCGCCCGUGGGGAGGGCUCUUUGACAUUUGGGUUGUAUUUUGGACAUUUGUUCUUCUCCAUAGUACUGGCCGGAUUCUUCAACAAUACCCUAAUACUUCUAAAGUCAAAGACAUGCUUCUCUUUCGUUGAAUAUAUUUGCAUCUCUAGGUGAAAGUUGUAAUUGGCUGAGGAAAUUUUUAUUUUUAUAGAAUGGAAGAACAGGGACUUUACGUGGAGAAAAAAUUGUAGUGGGUAUUUUCCAUAGAUAUGGCUAUACAUGUAGCAUGACGAGCUGAUGACGGGAGUUCAUUUGACGGAAUUAGCCCUUCAAUGGGUUGUCGUUAUAAACCAGAUGGCCAAUAUAAUCAUGCAGCCUAUUUCAGCAAUGUUGUUUAUUAUGAUAUUAAUUUUGUGACUCAAGAAGCUGCAAGUAACAAUAAUACAGGACACCGUACAUAUGCAAGUAAUUGUUUUGGUUGCAAAAUGCAACACUUUCUGGACCAUCUUCUGGUUAUAAUUUUGUUUUUAGUAAAAUGUAAUUUUUUUUUAUUAUAGACAUUGUAUAAUUGUUUUAAAAUUUGGUAUAGCAAUAAAUAUGAUCUAUGUUUUGGACUGGUAGGUGGUUUCUUAAAAUUCUAUCCCAAAAGUUUAUCUUAAAGUUCUAUCUUAAAUUAUGUGGUCUUUAGACUGAUUGGUGUAAUUAAUUUAAUUAAUAAAAAAGAUCAGAUCUUCUCCUAGAUAUUUUUUUCCUCCUCCUAAACUUUUAAUAAUCCAUUGAUAUGUGUCAUUAAUGAAAUUAAUAGAUAAAAAAUUAUUUUAUCUUUACCGCUUUAACCCUACCCAAUUUGUGGACCCAUUUUAUCUUCCACGUGAUUGGUAUUAUUACUUUAUUUGUCUUUUUAUGUACUAUUAUUUAUUCUGUGGACCCAUUCAUGCACCCACGUUUCGGACAUGCAAUUUAACCGUAGCCGUUAAUCUUACCUAAUCAUAUGUGCGAUAAAAAUCUGCCGUCGAUCCGUUAUAUGUAAGUACCAACCAUGCGUUAUUAUUCGAUUUGCUACGUUACAAAAUCUUAUUGAUAAGGUUUUUUCAGAGAUUUUUCUUUUAAGACUACCAUUACCUACGUUACAAAAUUAAAUUAUAAGAGGAUCUUGAUAAGGUUUUUUCAGAAACCACUUUGUAAAGUCAAAAUAAAGUCUUCGCCGUCUGCCUCCAAUGACUAACGCCCCAGGCCCUUGAUGAAAUAGAAAUCCGAGCAGUGAAGUCACACUUCUCAUUGAAAACGACUAAUAAAAAUUAAGUUGGAAACUCGAACAGUAACUAGAUAACCUUACUCUUUUAUAUUUUAAGAAUUUGUUCAGAAAAUAUUACGAUCUCUUCUAACUUAAGUUGAAAUGCCGUUUCUAUUUCUUAUUCUUAUAAAAUGUGUACUUAUCAAUAAAGUUUCUUAUAUAAAAUUUUCAACUAAGAAUGAAUCUUCUUCAUCCAAGAUGCUAAUACAGUCCUAAAGGUGGUGGUGAUGAAAGAAUGGACAUUAAACCAUUAAACUUCAUUCUCGUAGUCUCAAGCGUGGUUGCUGGUCCUCCAUAAGACCAAUAAUCUCUCCCUCCGUGACUCGUAACCAGACUGUGAUAUCACUUGUUGGACCCAGACACUUAUUGUGACUUUUUAGCAAGUCGCCAAUCACUAAAUUGGUCCAGAUUUAACAUGCUUAUUUAUGGAUCUUUCAAAUUAAAGUUUUCAUAUUCCUUUGAAAACUAAUUGGAAAUAAAAUAUAAAAAAAAAGAAUAAUAAACUAUUUAACUUCAUCCAUUUAUAAUCCUAAGGAUAUUCAUUGGGCACCCAUAAGAUCAACAGUCUUAUACUAUAAUUUAAAUUUAAUUAUGUUUUAUUGACAAAAAUUAGCUAUUAUCAUUAUGAAAUGCCCAUUUCACUGGACUAUCUUUGAUUAUAAAAUUGUUUUAGCAAUUCCAAGUGAAAUGAUAUUUUGAACGAGGAAAAGACUCAAUUAGACAUUUAGACCGGGCUGCAGUUCUGGCCUCAUUUUGUCCUGAAGCUCAGCCAUGAUCCUGCCAAAGUUUUGGAGCCAUUCUAGCCACAUUUUAUCUUACUAUUAUGCACCACAUUUACUUUUUCGAUCUUCGAGACUUCGACUGGGUCAAACAUAUCCUCAAGCUCCGCUUUAACCUUACGAAAUUUGUGCCACUUGGCCUUGUAGCUCAGUGGUGGAUCAUUACCCUCAAAGUUAAGCAUGAUUAUGAGGGCAAUGGUUCGAGUUUUUACGGACUUAAUCUCCCUCAAUUAAACAUAAUUGUGUGGAGAUUUUUUAUAACGUCUUUCUCUCUUGUGAAAUGCGAGUGGAGUAGAGAUAUCCCUCCUCCGUGAGGGGUAUUUGGAUGAGCAUGUACUUCAUAGAAUAAAAAUGUAAUUAUAUAAGUCCUAUGUAUAUAUAUCUGAUUGUAAAUAUCAAUGUAAUGACUUGUUGUCAUAGCAAUUGUAUAUAUCUCUGUGUAAUAUAGUAAUAUGAUACUUAAUCAAUUUAAAAAAAAAAAAAAACUUACGAAAUUUGUUGACCCAUUUUACCUUCACGUGAUUGGUAUUACUACUUUUGUCGACAAGGCUACGUUGCAGUUGCAGACUCAGCUGAGUACCAACAGCUUUUCCUCUCUCCUGCAACGCGUGGAUGCUCCUUGUUUGUCUUCUUAUCUGCAAUUAUUUUCUCUGUGGACCCAUUCAUGCACCCACGUCUCGAAUAUGCAAUCUAACCCACGUCUCGAAUAUGCAAUUAUUUUUUUUGUGGACCCAUUUUACCUUCACGUGAUUGGUAUUACUACUUUUGUGGACAAGGCUACGUUGCAGUUGCAGACUCUGUAUGCAACAGCUCAGUCCAAACUGGCCUUGUAUCAGCUGAGUUCCAACAGCUUUUCCUCUCUCCUGCAGCGCGUGGAUGCUCCUUGUUUGUCUUCUUAUCUGCAAUUAUUUUCUCUGUGGACCCAUUCAUGCACCCACGUCUCGAAUAUGCAAUUUAACCGUAGCCGUUAAUCAUAUCUAACUAUAUGUACGAUAAAAAUUCCGCCGUCGAUCCGCUAUAUGUAAGUACCAAUCAGGCAUUAGUUUUCUAAUAAGACUUUAUUUCUUUUAUUAGCUCAUAUUCAUCCAUGUGUUUAUCAUUCCUAGCUAAUUCGAUUAUUUAAAAUAACAAUGAUCCAUCAAUAAUUUUAUUCUUCGACCGGCUAAAAUGAUUUUUUUUAUUAUUAUUUUGAUGAGGAGGUCUCAAUAAAGUUCAAAUAAAUAAAUUUUGGUCUUUGUCUCACACUUACAUAAACAAACGAAAAAAUUAUAAAAUUAUAAAAAAAUUAAGAACCAUUGUCAAUUAUGUAAAUUCAAAUAUUUAAACAAUCAAAAUAAUUGCGGUUAGUUUUCCCCUGUAAUCAAUUAUUGGCAUCGGAUGGGAACCACGUAAUUCGUGUAAUUGAUAUAAAGCAAUCUUUGAUGAAUCGUGACCCACUUAACAAGGAUCAAUACAUUCAGAAAUGAAUUCCACUCACCAAUUGAGAUACUAGUAUUAAUAUUAUCGGGAUUUAUACUGCUCUAAAGACAAUGUUACAGAGAAGCUGCUAUAACUCUCAUGACUCUGAAUCUAAGUGUUCAAUACGAGUGUAAAGACCUAAUUGCUCUGAUACAAGAAAUCAGUCCAGUCUUGUAUUACUAAACUUAUUAGCAGAUUUUUGGCUCCCAGCUAGCACAUGGGUAGCACCUGUAACGCUGCAUCAAUUAACAAAACUGAUUUACCAGAAUUUCCAGCCCCUAUACUUUGCAUCAAUAAAUUAUGAAAUUGGACAAGAUUUGUGUGUGAUUUUAAAAUAAAUAUGAACUUGAAUUUGAUGCAUUUAAUUAAUCCAAAGAGGCAAAUUUAUAAUUUCAACUUCUAAAUAAAACAUAUCAUUUGAAUUUUAUCAGUGGUUUCUAAUAAUAACUGACAGGUCAUUAUAAUAAUUAUAAAUGUAAUAUUUAUUUUUAUAAUUAUACAGUUAUGAUCAAUGCUAUGCUGUAGUGCCGUUCCAAAGGCAACUGCUCCCACUAUUCUCUUAGCGGCUCUGCCACUAAUCGCAUUCUGGCCACAUUUUAUCUUGCUAUUAUGCACCAUAUUUAUUUUUGCAAUCUGCGAGACUGCGACUAGGAUAUGCAAUUGCUCAAGCUCCGGUUUAGUCUUAAUUUGUGGACCCAUUCUACCUCACACGUGAUUGGCAUUACUACUUUGUUUGUCUUCUUAUGUACUAUUAUUUAUUAUGUGGACCCAUUCGUGCACCCACGUUUCGAAUACACAAUUUAACCGCAGCCGCUAAUCUUACUUAAUUUAUGUACGAUAAAAGCUCCGCCGUCGAUCCGUUAUACUUAAGUACCAACCAUGAUUAUUAUUUGAUUAGCUACGUCACAAAGUCGUAUUGAUUACGAAACACCAACACCUAGGGCCUAGGCAAUAUAGACAGGUCCUAAAUUAUGAACAGACAUUUACGCUGUGGACCCAUUCAUGCAUCCCCGUUUCGAUUUUGCAAUUUAACGUAGCCGUUAAUCUUACCUAACCAUCUGUACGAGAAAAACUCCGCCGUCGAUCCGUAUAUGUAAGCACCAAGCAUGCAUUAUUAUUUUACCGAUUAUAAAGCACCGACACCCAGGGCCUAGAAUUAUAAUACUAUUUUUUUUUUGGAUUAGGACGAAAUUAUUAUUGAAUAAUAAUUAAAACAAGAAAAUCUGAAUCUUUCUAUGAUUGUAUCAACUUAUUAUGCAUGCCUAUGUUAUUGCCCGGUUGCCUAUGGUAUUGACAUCUACUACGAAGUUAGAAAUUGGUCUUAAUUAAUUAGAUGCAUUUCUCAUUUGAAUUAUUUGGAGACGUGUAUAAUACAGGUCAAGUUUUCUAAUAAGAGGUUAGUGACUUUAUUUCUUUUAUUGGCUCAUAUUGAUUUAUUUGGUUAUCAUUCCUAGCUAAUUCGGUUAUUUAUCAAUAAUUUUAUUGGACAAAUUCUUUUAUUGGUUAAAAUAAGUUUUUCUUAUUAUUGUUUUUGACGAGAAGGUCUCAAUAAAGUUGGAGUAAACAAAUUUUCAUCUAUGUCUCGCACUUACAUAAAAUAAAGGAAAAAAUUAUAAUUAUAAAUAAAUUAAGAACCAAUGUCAAUAAUGUAAAAUCAAAUAUUUAAACAAUCAAAAUUUUAUCACUUUUGAAUUUAAGACUUUUUUCUUUCAUAUGUUAGAAAAUAAAAUUUUGAUGGAAAUUUUUUUUUAAAUGAAAUUGGGAAUUAGAAAUUUUCAUUUCCAAGACUAUCUUUCAUUGGCUAUGUCCAAGACGAAACAGAUUAAAAGCAAAUUUUGUAAUUUACAAAAUUACUGUAGCAAUGAGAUGCGAAAGAAAAGACUGCACGUGAUAAUUGCGGUUAGUUUUCCCCUGUAAUCAAUUAUUGCCACCGGAUGGGAGCCACGUAAUUCGUCUAAUUGAACUGUACCCGGUUAUUCGCAAUCCACACCGGGCAAACUUGAAUCAUCUAUAUAUAUUACAUCAAAUUGUCAAACUGGAAGCAAGAACUCGAAAAAACAACUUAACUACUUUCGAACUUUGAUUCCCGUAAGCAGAGAUCUUUCUGAUUUGAAGAACAUGGAAACCACCUGCGCAGGUUUAUAGGCCAACUUUAUUUUAAUAUAUAUCGUUUAUACUUCUUAUUUUAGUAUAUGCGGUUAUAAAUUAAAUUUUUUAUAUGAAAUUUUCAGGUAAUAACUGGUCAGAGGGUCUUCUGCUUCCUCCGUUUGGCAGUAUUGCUGAUGAUGAUGUCAUGAACGACAAUCUUGAUUUUCUUAAUGUCCCCCAAUAUGGAAGAAACCCCGACUACAUGGGUUAAGUGCAGCACUGCUUUUUUUUUUUUUCUGUUUUGUUUAAUUAAAUAAAUGAUAGGUAUACUAUUACCUAUCAAUCAUGACAAUGUUUUAGUAUGGUUUAGUUCAACUUAUAAGAUUUCUUGAGACGUACAAGCAAUCUUUUUGUUUACUUUUGAGCUAAGUAUUUUCCUGAAAAAGGAAAUAAAUCAAUAAAAGUUAUUGUGUGUGUCAACAUAUUGGUUCUAUUAGUUUAUACACGUCGGUUUUAAUUACGAUCUCUCUUCCUAAAUGUUGUACUUUUUUUUGAAAUAAACUCAAAACUUUGUUGUAUAAAAAACUCUUAUCACUUUCAAUCAUAUGAUGGUUACAAUUUAAUCAUUUAUUCAUAACAUCCUCCUGGUCCUCCAUUGAGGAUAUUAAAGUGUGCCAUUCUGUAACCCAGAACUAUCAUUUCUUCCACCUCUACGAUAUCUUGUAAUGUUACUUGCAGCUUCAUAAGCCACAGAAACAUCAUCAAAAUCAACAAAUUGUUUUUUUUUUUUUUAGGAAAGUAAUAAGAAAAAUAAAAGCUGCAUUAUUUUAUUGGCCACAUUGGACUCCUAGGCCGGGUAAUCUUGUCAUCUCUACUCGUAGAGUCUUCUCCCAUGGUACUUGCAUGGUUCCAUCUUUUAACUCUAGUAGUAUUUUGUUUGGAAAAUACCCCAAUAUAAUAUCUUCAUUCAAGAAAAUUGAGGACUGAAUUUGUGGUGCUUUUAUCAUAUUAAAUUACAUUUAAUUAUCAAUAUUUAUUGACUGAAAUCAGAAGGGUGUUUGAAUCAGAUAUGAAUUCUCUCUUAAUCAAUUUUUUUUUCUAAAUUUUGUAAGAUAUUAUGGCAGAUUUCAUUUAAAUUGUUUUAUAGUUAGGAUUUAAUUUAUUUUGGGCUUUCCUUAUUGUUUGAAUCCGAUGAAUUUCAUAUCAUCUUGCUGGUGCUUCUUCUGAUCUUCUUCUCCCUCCCUCUCUCUCACUUUUUUUCUUCUCUCUCACAGACCUAAAACUUUGACGAGCAAAUUUGAAAACGAAAUAUCAGGACGGAAAAGCCUCAACAUAUUAAAAAAUUCGGAUAAUUUAACUCUCGUAGCAUUGAUGAAUUUUGGUGUUCUGAUGCGAUUCAAGUUUCUCAUAGAGCCAAAAAAUGGCAAUUCAAGCCAAUUUUUUUAUCCAUCAAUUGAAAUACAUGUUACAUAUGCAGCAGCCCGUAAUCGAAAAUAACUUAAUUUGUUUUAAAAAUUCUUUAUGUUAGACUAGAAAUGAAUCCAUUCUUGUUAUUGCGUAUCUGCAAUUUAACUUAUGCUGCUAGUUUACAAUUUAUUUUAUUCACAUAAAUGAUCGUUCCUUUUUCUUAUUCUCAAUUAAAUUUUGGUUCCUAGAAUGAUAGUUAAAAAAAUUAACAAUAAUAAUCGAUGUCGCAGAUCAAUUAUCAAAGUUUGUUUGUGUGAACAAGAAAUAUGAGAAAAAGUUUGUUAGUUAAUUGUCUCUUAGUUUUAGAAUUUUGAUUAACCAAUAAAACAACGUAUUUUAUUGUUUAAUAAAACAAGUUCAAAGUAAAUUCAAUCCUAGUCAUAUUUUGAUAUUUUUAUUACAUCGCAAUUAAAUUUAAGACAAACCACAUUUCGGCAAUUAAAUUUAAGACAAGCCACAUUCUCCACAUGAAAUAUUUUGUCGCGUCGUGAUUAAAUGAUUGAGUCUCACGUAGAAGUCUGUCACUAACCAUAUAUUUUUAUAAAUUUAUCAACACAAAAAGAAAAAAAAAAUGAAGUAUUUGAAAUUUAUCUGGGGCUAAGCAGUAACAUUGGAUGUUGCCUCGGAUGUCCUAUAUCAAGGGCCCGAUUAAUAAAAUUUUGGGCCCUAGGCAAAAUUUCUAAAUUAGCCCUUUUUAUUUAAAUGAAAGUUAAUGUGAGAUUAAUUUAAAUUUUUACGAUUAAUAUGAAUAAUUUAUUUUUUUAGAUAUAAUUCCUUUACAUAGUUUGUAUCUGUAUUAUUUCAAAGAUUUUUUUGGGUUAUGUUUAAGCAGGCUUAUUUUUGAGAGAUUAUGAAGAAUAAGAGAUUGUGUUUCAAUUGGAAAUAACAAAAAUUUCGUUGCAUAAUUUUUUUUAAGCAUUAAAGAAAUAAGUUAUUGACGGAAAUUUCACUUUCAACAUAGAGAAUAUCCAACAUUUUAAACAAGAAAAUAAAUAAAUUCUGAUUUUUUAACUGAACUAUAUAUUGAGGUGGGGCCAAAAUUUUUGGAGAGCAAAUAUAAUAACUCAAUUUCUAAAUAAUGAAUAAUGACUCAAUUUCUAAAUAAUGAAGUAAAACAUAAAUUAGGGUUUUAGUAGGAAAGUAUAUUAGAUGGGACCUUGAUUUUAGGGGAAGGCAUAGGCAGUUGCCUAAAGAGUAGAGCUUCUAACACCCCUUUUAAACUUGUAACAAACCCCAAUUUUUUGUUUUUUUAAGUCUCUUUCUUUUAUGAAAAAUACAGAAAAGGACAUAAAGUUAUAAUGAAAUUUUAAUUGAACUUCACUACUGUAUAGAAUACAUUUUGUAAACAAAUUUUUCAUAAUAAAUUUUUUAAUAAAUAAUUUAUUUCUUUGUUAUUUUGUUUUUAUCAGCAAAUUAAUUAUAAUAUCAUAGGAUUAGCAAAUAGUCAAGAUUCAAGAUUUGUUAAGCUAUUUUAAUGUAAUCAAAUUCAUAUUUUUCCUUUUAGUAAUUCUUAGUAAUAAUAGAACUAUUAUUUUAAAAGUAGGGUGAUGCAAGAAUAUUAAAACGGUGUGAAAAGCAUUACUCUUGCCUAAAUUAUUCCAAGGUUGAACCGGCGUGUCUAAUUACCACCCUCUAGAGAAAGGGGAAAUUUUUUUUUCCGAAGACAACCAUGUUUUGGGUAUUUCUACCGACACUCUACAAAAUAAAUGCUGGAAGAAAAUUAAUACUCUAUUAAUUGUUAGGGACAAAUCACACUUCCGUUGAGAAUAGACCUUCAGUUAAGUAUACCGGUUUCGACAUCCCUCGACUCUUGAGCUUUUCUUUGAAUAUAAGUUGGGUUCGUGGGUUUUUAUAUAAUAUCAGAGUUAGAAUCGUACAUAAGUGAGUCCACACUACCUUACCACAUCGAUUGAGAAUAAAUAUUGAGUUCAAUAUUAAACCUUCAACCACAAGGAUAAAACUAAUUAAGGCCCUUGAGGGGCUUCAAUACAUCCUCAACUAUUAAAUUCAUGGAAAUUCAUAUUAAUUUAAUGGAGUUGAACUUUUGGCACCCUUUGAAUAUGUCUUAAAACACAUUUUCUUUACUUAUCCCAUUAAAAUUGUAUAAAGAUUGCACACUUUCUCAUGAAAUCCCUAUGAUUCUAAAAAUAACCCUGAUUUCUUGUUAAAUAAACACCAAUGCAGAUGCGGCAAUAAAAUAGUUAAUUUAAAAAAAAAUCCCUAUCUGAGAGACAGAAAGCUAGAGGAUUUCAAUAUGGAAUAUUUAUGAUCAAUAGAAGAAUUCAAGUGACUGGAGAAAAUUCAGAUUGUUCAAAAUGGGUUCUCAAACGAGAUAAGCCUCAGGUAGUAGACCUCACCAACAUCAGUACCAGACUCAAUCCAUAGAAUCGGUCUCGUCUUAAGCCUAACAGCUCCCUUUUAAUAUAAUCUAGUGAGAACGGUGAGGUGCUUGGUAUAUCAUACACCAAAAAUCAACGAUGCUUGGACUUUCAAGAAAAAGAGAAAAACAAAUGCAUGCACGGGGAAACGUACUAAUUAAAAGCAAAUCAUAUAAUUUACAAAUUAUUAUAGGCUUGUAGCCAUAAGAUCGAGAGAAACUAAAACAUUUCUUGCAUUUUCUGGCCAUAUUUUCUAAAUGAAGGGAUGGUCCAUUGCUGCUCUGCCAUACUGGAUCUCAAGAUGUCAUUAACAAUAGGUCUCAAGAUGUCGCUAACAAGGUGUCACUCUGAUACCGACAGGUCUACCACUUAGACAUAACACUUGCCAUAUAAAAUUUUCUCCUAUUUUUGCUAUUUCCUUCGUAUCUUGCAUUGAAUUAUUGCCAGCAAAUGAUAUUUCGAGUCAAAAAAGUAUAUUCAAUUAUUGCAUAUAUGCUCCUAGGUAAUUUGCACAAUUGAAUUAUAGCUGUUAAUCUACUUAUUUACACAAUUGAUUAAUUGUGCGCAUCCAUUGCAAGACUUUCGCACUAAGUUUCAAUUUCAACCACAAAUCCUAGCUCUAGAUAAAAAUGAUGUGGUCGUAGAGAUUUCGAAUGUAUUCACUUUGUGAUUAACGGAAGCAUUGCUUUCAUUUGUAAGACGUUGUCAUCAGAGAUUAAUUAAUUAAUCAUCAUUUUGCUAAAGGAAAAAGAAUGAAAAAAGCUGCACUAUUUUAAAGGCCAUUUGGUAUAUGACCACUUCGCAUUGGACUUGGAGACCGGGUAAUUUUGUCAUCUCUACUCCAAGAAUCUGCUCUCAUGCUACUUGCAUGGUUCCAUCUUUGAAGUCUGGUACUGUUUUUUUUGGAAAAUACCCCACUAUAAUAUCUUCACGAAGAAAAUUGAUCCCCGUUAACUAGCGUGAUUAGCUUAGUUUCUUAAAUUCAACGUUCGUUUGGUUAAUUAUAUGUUAGUUUUAGAAUUUUGAUUAGCCAAUAAAACAAUGAGUUUUAUUGUUUAAUAAGGCAAUUUGAAAUAAAUUCAGUCCUACUCACAGAAAAAUUUAAAUGACACAUAUCAUAAUCUUUUUCAUAUCUUCAGAAAAAUUAAAUCAUAAGAGGAUCAUGAACAAUUUGAUGAUGCUCUGAAAUAUAGUCUUCUGUUUUUCAAGGAAAAAAUAAGGAAGUUAAAAACAUGUUUAUCAGGUUUUUCAGAGAUCAUUUUGACGUUUUUGUUUAAAAACAUGAAAAUUGUUCUUAUUCUCGUAAAACAGAAAAAAUUAUCUGGCCGGUUAGCUAAUUAUUCUUGUUCUUCUGUUCUUUUUUAUUUGAAUUGUUUCUCCCUUUUCCAUUCAUUUUUCACUAUGAAAUUAAUUACUAAUUAAUCUACAGUUAGUUUCUCUACAGCUAAUAGGAACGUGAUUUAUGCCCGAAGACUCGCAUCUUUUUUAUUCAUUAUCUACAGUGCCUCACCUCCAAUCUAUGUAUAGGCGGACAUGCAUAUUUAUUAUAUCAAAUAAGUUAUUGAUGGAAAUUUCACUUUCGAAAUAGAGAAUUAUCCUUAAUUAAAUCUUUGUGGGCCUAAAUUCGAGUAAGAUUUAAUGAUGUAUGAUUCAAAAUUAUUGAAAUCGGACAUUUUAAACAAGAAAAAAAUAAAAAAAUCUUGUUCUCUUUUUUAAAUAAUAAAUUUCAUUUUGAUGGAUUUUUAAUAUUAAAUUAGACAUUUGCUAAAUUGGCUCAAAUAUAAUAGAUCUUAGACCUUGCUUUUAAUGGAUUUAAUUAGGUUUUGGGCAUUUAAAUUAUACAACUGGAGACAGAAUUUAUAAACAGAUAAGAUUCUAAUGUGAUUUUAAAAUAAUUUUGAACUUGAACUUGAACUUGAUGCAUUUAAUUAAUCCAGAAAGGUAAAUUUAUAAUUUCAACUUUUAAAUAAAACAUAUCCUUUGGAUUUUUUACAUAAACUAGAGGCAAUUGUACAAUAUUUACUUGACUAGUGGUAUAUAUCCCAAAUUUUUUAUCCUAAGAAAUGCAACAUCAUUUGGUUGAUGAGGAUAAUAUAAUUAAUUCACUUAGAUAUUAUAAAAAAUUAUCAACCAAUCAAUGAAUAACAUAUCAUUUUCAUUGGGAUGGAAUUUGAAAAAAAAAUUUAGGACGUCUAUCAUUACUUUAGUAAGAAAGCAUAUUAAGAUGGACUGACAUGUUUGGAUGCCCCAGUCUAAGAUGCAAGAGAUCAAUUUCUUUUGUUGUCUUGAAAUCCCUACUAUUUGACUCAACAACAUUGGCAACAUUUAACUCAUUACUACUAGAACAAAAAAGAUAUCAUAGACAAAGGAUUGCUAAUGCAAUUUAUUGACUCAUACUCUAAAGAUAGAGGUAACUCAACAGCACAUUCAAUCUUGCGCUACUCAUGCACAUUAGCUCAUAUAGCCUAUCUUUAGUCACUCCUUUCAUUAGGAUUUUCACUUGGCUAAAGCAAGUAGAUUUUUGAAGCACAACAUCAAUAUCAUUAUCACGGAACAAUUUUGAGACAUUAAUAAGGUUCUUAGUAAUGCUAGGCACAUACAACGAGCUGUUUAGUUUAAUCUGUUUCUGUGGAUCAUAAGUGAGCAAUAUAGAGUAUCCAAUAUGAGAAAUCAAAAGUUUAUCACCAUUUCCAACAGUAGCUCAUCAUUACCCUGAUAUUCUGAAUUAAAGCUCAUGCUUCCAAUAGCACUGGUUGCAUGAUUUGUAGCACCAUUGUCAAGGUACCAAGCUCUACUAUUCUCACCGUCAACUGCAACCACAUAUGCUCUUCUUGGAUCUCUUCUUCUAUUUGGCUGUGGAACUAAUAUGAACCCUAUUAAGAACUAACAUGACCCUAACCAAUUUAGUCUCUAAGAUUGAAACCAAUUUUUUAUUUUUUUUAGAAGAGAUUGAAACCAAAUCUAAAAUUGAAUGGAACCGCGAUUUGAUCUCAAUGAAAGUACGAACCUUGGUAUGUGAUGACGCCACAAUCAGCUAUGGAUGAUCUUAUUGAUAAGUCAAGAGUUUGAACGCCACAGAAAUCCGAUAAAUUCAAAGGGUUAGUUUAAGAACCAAAGAGAAUUAGCUUUCUCAGCAAUUGCAUCAAAAUUGAUGCCUUUCUUAUUGGAUACGAGUACAUUAGAUAGGGUUGGUUUAUAAGAAUUUUAAGAAAUAAAUCCUAAACCAAAAUCAAAUCAGAAUCCUAAUUUAAAGCAAAUAAGGAAAGAAACUAAAUCAAACCAGAAUCCUUAUUGGCUUAAAUGCCUUGCAUCAAUUAAAAAUGGAAACAAGGCAAUUAAAAGAGAAAUAAUUGAUUCGUUUUGCCACUUGCCUACUCAAGAAAUGGGAAAGUAUCCUAAAAGGAAAGUAGUAUAUUUUCCAAACGAGAAAACAUCUGAUAAGGUAAAUAAUGUAUUUUCUAGCCAUAAUGUGCAAACCAACUUGCUGAUUUUAUGGAAAUGAUUAUGUGGAAACUUAAAAAGCCUGAAUCACGUAUUUAGUGGUCUGAAUAUCAUGUGCGCUUUCUUCAACGGGCCUCCACGAAUUUGAUUGAGCUCAAGUUGCUUAAAUCAACCCAUUAAGCGAUUUUUUGAAUUUUUUUGCACGAGCUCUUGUGAUGGGUCCAAUAGGAACUUGAAUGGGAUAUGAAUAUACCUCAUCCCAUGUGCUUGUGACAGUUUUGUCCUCAAUAUCAUAUUUUUUCCUUCAAAGAAACAAUUUUGCUUCAUAUGGAAAAGGAAAUUCUUAUGUAGCCUUAUAUGAUUUAUACAUAAACUCAUAAUAUUUGUGUAGUCCUUCAUGAACAUGUGAAAUAUACACUUAUAUAGUGAAUCCUUCAUGAACAAGAUGUUAGUGAAUAACAUCAUAAUUUUGGAAUAGUCUUUCAGGAACAUAUUUUGAAAGAAAAUCUUCAUUAUGUAUAGUGCGAUCCUUAGAGAUGCAUUCUUAAUUUUCUUUCAUUAUAUAUUAUAAUAUUCAUACUUUAGGAUGAAUAUUUUGAAUUUCAAGAAUAGAAAAUAUAUAAUAGCAAUUGAAUAUUAUAAUAUAAAAAAUCAAACAAUAACAAAAUCAAUCAAUGGAACAUUAAAUAAAUGUUGGAAUCCAAAUCUCAUAAAAUAUAUGUAAUCAUUAAUAAAGGAAGUAUUAGAACAAGAAUCAAUCGGUCCUUGAUCUUAGCCACUAACUUAGCAUAUUGUAAUAUUCAUUCUCCUUUAUAUUCUUUCCUUUUCUAUUAUUUGACCGUUUGGUACUUGCCUUAGAUGAUUCUAGUAUUUUUGUAUAUAAGGAUCUUGUACACAGCAACAAAUAUAUAUGAGCAUUUCCACAAUUCUUUACAUGGUACCAAAGAAAAUUUUGCUCAUUUAUGCUUUUCUCUUUGAAAAUCAUGUCUAGUAGUUUGAAUCCAAUAUCAGAAACAUCAAAUUCCCUCAUUACCGAUGCUUCUUCACCAUACUUUCUUCAUUCAUCUGAUCAUCCUGGAGCCAUUCUUGUAUCUAAUGUGCUAACGGGUGAUAAUUAUUCAACAUGGAAAAUAUCCAUGAAGAUGGCAUUAAAUGCCAAAAACAAAUUGGGUUUUAUUGAUGGAAGCAUACAAAAACCUUCAUCAACCUCACAAGAUUUAAAAACUUGGGAGCGAUGCAAUGACAUGGUCCUUUCAUGGAUGCUCAAUGGAAUAGAGAAAAAUCUUGCUAACAGCCUCAUUUAUUGUGAUACUCCACGCUCUCUUUGGCUUGGGUUGGAAGAACGUUUUUCACAAAGUAAUAAUCCACGGAUUUAUGAACUUAAGAGAGCCAUAUGCAAUCACCAGCAAGAGCAAAAAUCAUUAGUGAUUUAUUUUAAUACUUUGAAAUUUUAUUAGGAUGAAUUGUCCACAUUAACCACUAUUUCUUCUUGCAAGUGUGAAACUUCAUAUGAAUUGCAGGGAUUACUAGAGACUGAAAAGGUGUUUCAAUUCCUAAGGGGUCUCAAUGAUUCAUAUUCUUCGGUACGAAGUCAAAUCUUAGCCAUGGAACCACUUCCAAAUGUUGGAAAAACAUAUUCAAUUAUUCAUCAGGAAGAACGUCAACGACUUCUCCAUGUUUCCAGUCAACCAUCCAUUGAAUCAACAGCCUUGACAGCCAAUAAUAAGACUCAAAUGACCGGCUGUCAAAAUCAUUCACAUCCUAGCCAUUUGCAUGGAGUACAAGAGACACAAGGACGGGGUAGAUCUUUCUGCGAUCAUUGCCAGAAAUAUGGGCAUAUAAAAGCCAAAUGUUACAAAAUUGUUGGCUACCCACCAAACUGGAAACAUUCAAAUCGAUCGCAUGUUGCUGCUCCUACAACCACAAAGCCACAACAACUAGAUGAUCAUCCCAUUCCAACAGACAAGAAUGCAUCAUCUCAGCCUACUAUCCAAAUUCCUGGUCUCACGGCUGAACAAUAUCAACAAUUAUUAUCUAUACUUUCAACAAGUGAGCAACCAUCUACUGCAAACUUAGCUGGUAAAAUCAUUCCUUUUUGCAAUUCUGCUAUUAACUCAUAUAAUAAUUCUUGGAUAAUUGAUAGUGGGGCAUCUGAUCACAUGACCCCUAAUAUUUCUUCCUUUAAAAAUUUUGUGCCCAUGUCUCAUGUCAAACCCGUGAGACUACCAAAUGGCACAACUGUUCCUACAAUAAAAUGUGGAUCCAUUAAAUUAUCCUCCUCUUUGACUUUAGAUAAUGCCUUAUUGGUUCCUCAUUUUAAUUUUAAUCUAUUAUCUGUAAGCAAGCUAACCAAGGAUUUGAACUGUGCUGCUAUAUUUUUUUCCUUCAUUUUGUGUUUUUCAGGACCUUUCAACGAAGAAGCUGAUUGGAAAGGGUGAAGUUUGGGAUGGACUAUAUUAUUAUGAGCUUAUCAAUGGUCAUUCUUCCCUUCCUUCAGUAAUGAACGUUGCAAAGGAACCCAAUUCUAAUCUUUGGCAUUUGCGACUCGGUCACCCUUCUAAAGACCGAAUGCAGCGUUUGUCUUUUAUUUAUGAUAUUGCAUCAUUUAAUUCUUGUUGUGAAAUUUGUCAACUUUCAAAAAACACUAGAAGUUCAUUUCAAUUGAAUAAAAAUCGUUCUGAUAUGCCAUUUCAAUUAAUUUUUUGUGAUAUUUGGGGACCUCAUCGCACAUCUACAUAUACGGGAGCAUAUUAUUUUCUUACUAUUGUUGAUGACCAUACUCGUUGUACUUGGGUUUACCUCAUACGGCACAAGUUUGAAGCUUUUCAAUUAUUAAAAAACUUUUACUUCUUGAUCAAGACACAAUUUCACACACAAAUUAAAAAAAAAAUUUGCAUUAAUCAAGGAAGUGAAUUUUUAUCAAAUCAGAUGCAAUUUUUUUCAUGAGCAUGGCAUCUUGCAUGAACGCACUUGUGUUGAAACACCUCAACAAAAUGGGGUAGCAGAACGCAAGCAUCGACAUAUUUUAGAAGUUGCACGUGCAUUAUGUUUUCAAGCACAUUUACCUUUGUCUUUCUGGGGAGAUUGUGUUUUAGUUGCAACCCAUUUGAUUAAUCGUAUACCCACGCCUAAUCUUGGUGGUCAAUCACCUUAUGAAAUGUUUUUUAAGACUAAACCUCACUAUGAUCGUCUUCGUGUCUUUGGCUGUCUUUGUUAUGCUCAUACCAACAGUGCUAAUCGUCAUAAAUUUGCUCCCCGUGCUACCAAGUGUAUAUUUGUUGGUUACCCAUUUGGGUAUCUCGGAUACAAAGUUUAUGAUAUCAUUAAUAAAAAUACUUUUAUUUCUCGUGAUGUUACUUUUGUGGAAACUGAAUUCCCAUUCAAAACUAUCACCAAUCAACAAGAAAAUAGCAAUCUUUUACCUCUUCCUAUCAUACUUCCUGCCAAUGAAAAUGCACAGCUCCUUCCAACUUCUUCCAAUGAGAAGCCACUCCACCAAGGUACAUCUGAUUCAAUAGUUCUCCCUUCUCCACCUCUUCGACGGUCCCAACGACAGUCUUGUCGUCCAAAUUAUCUUCAGAAUUAUAUUUGCUCUACUGCACUUCACGGUACAUUUGGCAACUCUAUUAGUUUUACUAAUCAUCCACCAUUGGUAAGUUCUUUAUAUCCAUUAUCCAAGUAUUUAUCAUAUGACAAGUUUUCUAGUGAUCAUGUAGCCUUUCUUUCAGCCAUAUCUCACGAUGUUGAACCAACUACAUAUUCUCAAGCCGUUCAACAUGCUUAUUGGCGCAAUGCUAUGGAUAUAGAGAUUAAAGCUUUGGAGCAAAGUAACACUUGGACAAUACAAGAUCUACCCCCCGGCAAGAAACCAAUUGGUUGUAAAUGAGUGUUUAAAAUUAAAAGAAAAGCUGAUGGUUCUAUUGAUAGAUACAAAGCAUGCCUUGUUGCUAAAGGAUACACACAAACUGAAGGUUUGGAUUACCAUGAGACAUUUGCACCUGUUGCAAAACUUGUGACUGUUAGAUGUGUAUUGGCAAUGGCAGUUAUUCGAGGGUGGUUAUUAUUUCAGUUAGAUGUUCAUAAUGCAUUUCUUCAUGGCGACUUGCAUGAGGAAAUUUAUAUGACCUUACCUCCAGGAGUUCGUAAACAGGGGGAGUCUUCUCAAUUUUUUCGGUUAAACAAGUCCCUUUAUGGUCUCAAGCAAGCUUUUCGAAAAUUGGUUUGAAAAAUUCUCAUCCGCUCUUAAACAAAUUGGUUACAUUCAUUCUUAUGCUGAUUCUUGUUUAUUUACUAAUAUGCACGAUUCUCAUUUUACAUUGGUGCUUGUGUAUGUUGAUGAUAUAAUAAUUGCUAGUAACCAUCUUGACACUAUAACUGCAUUGAAGAUAUUUUUACAGGCUCAAUUUUAUAUUAAAGACUUGGGAACUUUGAAAUAUUUUUUAGGAAUUGAAGUGGCUCGUUCAAAGCAAGGGAUUUUCUUAAAUCAAAGGAAAUAUGCUUUAGAUAUACUUCAAGACAGUGGACAAUUAGGCACACGGCCAUCUUCUUUUCCAAUGGAACAAAACUGAAGCUCUCUAACAAUCAAGGAACCCUUUGUCAAAAUCCUGACCACUACUGACGACUCAUAGGAUGUCUCAUCUAUUUGACAAUCACCCGGCCAGAAAUUACAUAUGCUGUGAACAUACUUAGUCAAUUUAUGCACACUCCAAGACGACCACAUUAUGAUGUUGCCCUGCGUGUCUUACGUUACAUCAGAUCUUCUCCCGGUACUGGUAUCCUCUUGUCCUCCACUAGCUCUUUGGAACUCUCUGCCUUCUCAUAUUCAGAUUGGGUAAGUUGCCCCAUGACCCGUCGAUCCACCACUGGAUAUUUUAUCAUGCUCGGCAACAAUCCUAUUUCUUGGAAAACCAAGAAGCAACCAUUUGUAUCACGCUCUUCCGCUGAAGCCGAAUAUCGAGCAAUGGCGACAACAACAUGUGAAUUGGUUUGGUUGAAAACUCUACUUCAUGAUCUUCAUAUGACCCAUCCAAUGCCUAUAACUUUACAUUGUGACAAUCAAGCUGUGCUUCAUAUCGCUGCCAAUCCCAUCUUCCAUGAGCGUACCAAGCACAUAGAAAUAGACUGCCAUCUUGUUCGUGAAAAGCUUCAUGCCAAAAUCAUUUCCUUAACUUAUGUGCCUUCACGACAACAAUUGGCUGACAUUUUUACCAAAGUUCUUGGUAAAGAUCAAUUUCAAUAUCUUAUUGGCAAGUUGGGAGUUAUGGAUCUUCACUUUCCAACUUGAGGGGGAGUAUUAGAACAAGAAUCAAUCGGUCCUUGAUCUUAGCCACUAACUUAGCAUAUUGUAAUAUUCAUUCUCCUUUAUAUUCUUUCCUUUUCUAUUAUUUGACCGUUUGGUACUUGCCUUAGAUGAUUAUAGUAUUUUGGUAUAUAAGGAUCUUGUACACAGCAACAAAUAUAUAUGACCAUUUCCACAAUUCUUUACAGGAAGUAAGGAACAACUUAAUAGAUCCAUUAUUCUUAAAUUAUAAAAAUACAUAAACAACAUAUGUAUAUGAUUUUAGACAAAUCAAGAUAGUUUAAUUCAUACCUUUGUGAGUGAGAUCAAAGGAGGGAUAUUAUCAUAUUACCUCUUAAUGGCUAGAGACUCGUGUUGAUAAUGUGUUAUAUCAUUUAUCAAUUGGGAGUGCAACAAUAUAGCAAGAGAAAUAAAGAAGGCAAAUAAGAGACACAAUGUUUAGAGGGGAAUUUUAUUCAAUCUCAAAUAUAUACAAAUAGGAAGCAAAGGCCUGCUUUUAUAGUGAUACAAGCAUAAAGUAGUAAGCAAUACCUCGUAAUUAUAAGAGAUGACAAUCCUCAGAUUAGGGAGAUAAUGAGAGUUAUAAAAGAUGGAAAGUUACUUGUGAGGAGAUCGAAGAUUGCUUUGAUGAACAUCCACAUAUAUCAUAAUAAUUUCAUAACAUACAUUUACUUUUAAUUUAUUUUUAAGGUUAAUUGGUUAAUAAGCUUCUUGUGUAGUAGAUUGAUUAAUGUGCCCAAGAAUAUUGUUGGAUGCUAUUAUUUUAAAAGCAAAGCAAAAUAAGGCAUAAGUGUCACAUGUUCAAUAGCAGGGAUGUUUUGAGGAAUUUCUUAAAAUAAAAAGACUAAGUAGAUCUUUAGCCCAAAAUAUAGGGAUUAAGCAAGCAUUCAUCCUAUAGAAAAGCAAAGUAAACUAAUGUAACCAUGAUUGAAUAUAAAGUUAACUCUUCUAUGGCAUUAUAGAGAACAAAAGAAGGAAAAAUAUUAUUCAAAUUCAAGAUAAGAAGGUAGUUUAUUAACUGUCUAAAGUUCAAAAUUUUAUUAAUUUCAGACCUUUUUUAAAAUUUACUUAUUUGUUUUUUUGUAACUUAUGUUUGAUUUUUAGAUAUUUAUAUCUGAAUAGAAAAAGUAAGAUUUUUUGACUUUUAUCUAAAUGGAAAAAGAUCUGAAUGAUUAGUAAAUAUUACAUUCCAUAAAUAUCUCUAUAAAAUAACUUAUUUCCUAAUCUAUAAAAUAGAAUCCCCUUUUUUUAUUUUGAUUUACAAGGACGUAAAUGUCAAAGAACUAAGUUUAAGAUGUUUUUUAUUAUAAAAACAAAUAAGAUGCCACUUACAUUCAUAUAUUAAAAAAUGAAAAACAAACAUGUGAUUCAAAUUUUCGUAUUCAAACCCAUUCAAACUUGAAAAAAAUUUAGACACAUUCAAAUUUCAGACAAAAAAGACAAAUACUAGUUCAAUUUUUUUUUUCGCUUUGCAACUGCCCACUGCUAACCAAAUAAAAAAAGAUUUUCAAUUUGGAAUUAUGUUAUCCAACAUAUGAAGACAAUUCUUCCUUUGAACGAAUCUUUAUGAUUGUUUUCUGAACGAAUAUUGCUCUAAAUUAAAAUAUUUUAGAACAAAAAAUAGCUGAUUGCCAAAUGUACAAUAGGUACAAUUUUCUUUUUUCAGCUCUCUUUUGGAAGAGAACUAUGGCGUCCUUUAUAAUUAUUAUUUCUUGAAAGAAUACAAACUUAAAUUACUGGCUUUUUAUUUGUAAAAUCAUAUAAAAUGGACUCUUUUAAGGAAAAUAUCUCAUACCGGAGAUAAUAAUUUCUGGACUAAGAAUAUAAACUUAAAACAGCACUACUAUCAAAUUAUCUUUAAAAGAGUUCCUUGAUCAAAAGAAUUUAUUUAUCAUUUUUCACAGUUUAAAAAAAUAAAAAAAUUACAUAGAAAUAAUUGGAAGAUUUCCUAAAUAAGCAUCAAAUAAAUGCUAAUUUAUUGCAUGAUACUUGGAAGAAACCAUAAAUAAAAAUUAAGGAUUUAUAAUUUUAAAGACAAGUUGGGAGUUUAAAUUUUCUUGCCAUCUUGAGGGAGAAUAAUAAGACCGAAAUAAUAUUGAUGAAACAAAAUAAUCAAUCAAAUAUUUGAUUGUCUUCAUCUUAAUCAGUGAUCAAGAAAAAUUGGUUGUUAAUUAACAUAAAAAUUGAUUGACUCAAUAUUUACUAAUAGAUCAUUAUUCCCAAAUUAUGUUAAUUAUAUAUAUUUCAAAUACUUAUAAGAAUUGAGUUUGCUUACGGUUUAUUAAAUAUAGUCUCUUAAAAGUUUACAUGUGGCCCAUACAAAGCUAACAUUACUCUGUUAUAGCAUUUCGGGCAUCCAACAAGAUCCUCUUCUUCACUUAUUGUUAGAACUAGCGCUAACAAAUUAAUUACUUAAUCACGGCUAAGUUUGGAAUUAAAAUCAAACUAAAUUAUCUAAUUGGUUGAGUUCGGUUUCCGUUUGUAUGGGCUACAUGAAAUUUUUUCUCUCAUCUUCUCUCGUCUGCUAAUCGCAUCUUUCUCUCUUUCGACUCUCUAAUUUCUCUCUUGGAUUUGGUUACCAAGCACAUAAAAUUGAAGCCACCAUCUCGCUCAUAACAAACAACUAGUCGGAUCCAUCAAACUGUUGCUGUCAUCUUGAGCCAUUCAAGUAACUUGAACACAUCAUCUUCUCGUAAAUUCUCUUUCAUUUUCGAAUUAAAGACAAGGUAAGGAUGUAAUCUUGACUUUUGUGUUUUUUGUGAUGACUACAGAAAAUGCUAUAUGAAACAAUUAGGGAUUUAUGUGCUAUAUAAUAAUAAUAAUAAUAAUAACGACAACAACAACAACAACAACAAGUAGUCAUUUAUGAAUUUUGAGUGAAAAAUUAGGGAUUUAUGUGCUUCUUCUUCUUCUUCUUCUUCUUAUUAUUAUUAUUAUUAUUAUUUUCCCUAUAUUAAACAAGUAGUCAUUUAUGAAUUUUGAGUGAAAAAUUCACUCGGCUGUGGCAGAUUUUGUGCCUUACAAGUAGUCGAUUUCACGCAUUCAUCAUCACCAUUACUAUGUUCAUUAUUAUUUGCUAUUUUUUUUUACUUUUUCUGCUGUUAUUGAUUAAAUUGACAUUAAAUUUAUGUCUUGUCCAUUACAAGACUUAACAAUAUAAUCCAGUUGUAACAUGGACACUACAGAUGAUACAAGUGCGCAAGACCUAGUCAGAGAGCGUAGUACACUUUUUGUAAGUAUAAACUAAUUGAUAUUUUUCGAGUUGUUAUGUUAGCAACCAUUUUAAAAACACUUUUGUUUUCGAAUUUUGGUUACGUUGAAGUGAAGGGGAUUGAGUUACCAUUAAAAAUUAAAGUAUUUUGGUCUUUAUAAACAAAGCGCUUUUGUGGAAUAGAUCUAAGAAGAUGCUAAUCUUCUUCAUAAAUUUUUUUUAAAAAAAAUUCUAUUACUCUUGGUGCAACAAAUUUCCUAGUCCCAAAACCUUGUCAUAGAAAAAAAAAGAAAAAAAAAAAGAAAACAGAAAAAGAGUGAAAAUCUCUUGGGUCAACCAAAUUACUCAAAUUCGUAAAAUAAUAUAAUACUUGAACCUUAAAAAUAAAAGCUCUAUAUAUUACUAUAUAAACAGUGAUAAACACAAUUACUAUCUAAGCCCACUCGAAAUUUUAUCAUACAGUCGUAUAUUUAUCACUUUAUGUACGUAUAUUGUAAUUUGGAUACGUUAUUUAAUUAUAUUUAUAUUGUGUAUAUUUACCACAUUAUGUACGUAUAUAAAAUAUAACGUAUAUUGUGUAAACUCUACUAUAAACAAUUAAUAUUUGGUCAUAUUUCUUUUGGCAAAUAACCCCCUGGGAUUUCUUCUUUAUCGCAACAUGAAAUUGAAGAUAUUUAAAAGGUUUUGAAACGUUAUUUUUAUUGAAAGGAGUUGCCAUUUUUAAUUUUGGUUGCAAAUAAUAAUUCCUUGGUGGUUACAAUAUUUUUAAAUAUCCCCAUUAAGGCUGUAGGGGCUACAAAUCUUCAUUCUAGAUCUGUAACAUAUGACUAUGAAUUAUAUAUAAAUGAGCUAUUUUUCUUUAUCUUUGGAUAUAUUAUAUACUCUAUUGUUUGCUCCGAAACUCUACGAUAAACAAUUAAUACUUUUCUUUGCAACUUCGACAUUCAAAGACUUGGUUUAUUCUUCAGGUAAAUCGUGCUUAGGAAGAAGAGCGGCAUGAAGAUAUUUGGGUUGUAUUUUGGAGCUGCGAAAUACGGACAAUAUCCGCCCGUGGGGAGGGCUCUUUGACAUUUGGGUUGUAUUUUGGACAUUUGUGAUUCUCCAUAGUACUGGCCGGAUUCUUCAACAAUAUCCUAAUACUUCUAAAGUCAAAGACAUGCUUCUCUUUCGUUGUAUAUAUUUGCAUCUCUAGGUGAAAUUUGUAAUUGGCUGAGGACAUUUUUAUUUUUAUAGAAUGGAAGAACAGGGACUUUACGUGGAGAAAAAAUUAAUUGUAGUGGGUAUUUUCCAUAGAUAUAGCUAUACAUGUAGCAUGGCGAGCUGAUGACGGGAGUUCAUUUGACGGAAUUAGCCCUUCAAUGGGUUGUCGUUAUAAACCAGAUGGCCAAUAUAAUCAUGCAGCCUAUUUCAGCAAUCUUGUUUAUUAUGAUAUUAAUUUUUAAAAUAUAGUUACAAUCUAGACACAUAAUUUGUGGACCCAUUUUAUCUACCACGUGAUUGGUAUUAUUACUUUAUUUGUCUUUUUAUGUACUAUUUUUGUUCUGUGGACCCAUUCAUGCACCCACGUUUCGAACAUGCAAUUUAACCGUAGCCGUUAAUCUUACCUAAUCAUAUGUGCGAUAAAAAUCUGCCGUCGAUCCGUUAUAUGUAAGUACCAACCAUGCGUUAUUGUUCGAUUUGCUACGUUACAAAAUCUUAUUGAUUAUAGACAUUGUAUAUUUUAAGAAUUUGUUCAGAAAAUAUUACGAUCUAUUAUCAUUAUGAAAUGCCCAUUUCACUGAACUAUCUUUGAUUAUAAAUUUUUUUUAGCAAUUCGAAGUGAAAUGAUAUUUUGAAGACUCAAUUAGACAUUUAGACAGGGCUGCAGUUCUGGCCUCAUUUUGUCCUGAAGCUCAGCCAUGAUCCUGCCAAAGUUUUGGAGCCAUUCUAGCCACAUUUUAUCUUACUAUUAUGCAUCACAUUUACUUUUGCGAUCUUGGAGACUGCGACUGGGUCAAACAUAUCCUCAAGCUCCGCUUUAACCUUACGAAAUUUGUGGACCCAUUUUACCUUCACGUGAUUGGUAUUACUACUUUUGUGGACAAGGCUACGUUGCAGUUGCAGACUCAGCUGAGUACCAACAGCUUUUCCUCUCUCCUGCAACGCGUGGAUGCUCCUUGUUUGUCUUCUUAUCUGCAAUUAUUUUCUCUGUGGACCCAUUCAUGCACCCACGUCUCGAAUAUGCAAUUUAACGGUAGCCGUUAAUCAUACCUAACUAUAUGUACGAUAAAAAUUCCGCCGUCGAUCUGCUAUAUGUAAGUACCAAUCAGGCAUUAGUUUUCUAAUAAGACUUUAUUUCUUUUAUUAGCUCAUAUUCAUCCAUGUGUUUAUCAUUCCUAGCUAAUUCGAUUAUUUAAAAUAACAAUGAUCCAUCAAUAAUUUUAUUCUUCGACCGGUUAAAAUGAUUUUUUUUUAUUAUUAUUUUGAUGGGGAGGUCUCAAUAAAGUUGAAAUAAAUAAAUUUUGGUCUUUGUCUCACACUUACAUAAACAAAGGAAAAAAAUUAUAAAAUUAUAAAAAAAUUAAGAACCAUUGUCAAUUAUGUAAAUUCAAAUAUUUAAACAAUCAAAAUUUCAUCACCUUGAGUUGAGAUUUUUUUUUCUUUCUUUUAUGUGUUAGAAAAUAAACUUUUGAUGGAAUAAUUUUUUUUAAAAAAAUUUUGGGAACUAGAAAAUCAUUUUUUUAAAAAUGACGUUGGGAAUUACAAAUUUUUAUUUCCAAGACUAUCUUUCAUUGGCCAUGUCCAAGACGAAAAAGACUAAAAGGAACUUUUGUAAUUUCCAAAAUUAUUGUAGCAAUGAGACGCGAAAGAAAAGACUGCACUUGAUAAUUGCGGUUAGUUUUCCCCUGUAAUCAAUUAUUGGCAUCGGAUGGGAACCACGUAAUUCGUGUAAUUGAUAUAAAGCAAUCUUUGAUGAAUCGUGACCCACUUAACAAGGAUCAAUACAUUCAGAAAUGAAUUCCACUCACCAAUUGAGAUACUAGUAUUAAUAUUAUAGGGAUUUAUACUGCUCUAAAGACAAUGUUACAGAGAAGCUGCUAUUACUCUCAUGACUCUGAAUCUAAGUGUUCAAUACGAGUCUAAAGACCUAAUUGCUCUGAUACAAGAAAUCAGUCCAGUCUUGUAUUACUAAACUUAUUAGCAGAUUUUUAGCUCCCAGCUAGCACAUGGGUAGCACCUGUAACGCUGCAUCAAUUAAUGAAAUUGAUACAAGAAAUUCUUUUAAUUUCUUGAAUACCGAAAAAGUAAAAUUACCAUUCAAAAUGGAGGAUAAAUAUUUAAAACUGUCUUAAACGCAUCUUAUUUGUUCAUACACACACAAGUUAUUAAACAACCAUGAAUGUUGAACUAAAGUGUCAAACUUAGUUUCUGGUUGUCAAAUUUUCUUCCUAUUGGACAUCUAAAUCGUUUUGCAGUCAGUAACAUAGUCAGAAAAUCAAAUUAGUGGGGUAGAAUGACUGACAUAAAAUAUAAAGAAAAAAAUUUACUGUGUUCUUUAUCUAUUUUUCUAAUAUUUUUAGCAUUCCUCCUUACAUAUGUCUAAUAGCAUGUUUAAUUUGAAGAAAUAAAAUAAGAAGAGAUGUGAGAUAAGGAGAAUGGGAACAAUAAAUAAGGAAAAAAGAGAUAUAAUUAUAUAUUAAAUUAAAUAAUGAAAUUGAGAAUGAUCCUAUUUUUUCCAUCAUUUUUUGAUCACUUACUCUAAGGAACGAGAACUUUAAGGAAAGACAGACAAAUCAUAAAGAUUGAAGAGCAGGAAUUUUUGUUCUCCUUUUUAAAUAAAAAAUUUCAUUUCAAUAGAUUUUUAUUAUUAAAUUAGUCUUUCCCUAAAUCAGAUCAAAUAUAUUAGAUCUUAAAUCUUGUUUUUAAUGAAAUUAAUUACGUUUUGGGCAUUUAAAUUAUGAAAUUGGACAAGAUUUGUGUGUGAUUUUAAAAUAAAUAUGAACUUGAAUUUGAUGCAUUUAAUUAAUCCAAAGAGGCAAAUUUAUAAUUUCAAUUUCUAAAUAAAACAUAUCAUUUGAAUUUUAUCAGUGGUUUCUAAUAAUAACUGCCAGGUCAUUAUAAUAAUUAUAAAUGUAAUAUUUGUUUUUAUAAUUAUACAGUUAUGAUCAAUGCUAUGCCGUAGUGCCGUUCCAACAUAGUCACGCCGUUGAUUUUUUAGACAGACCAAAGGCAACUGCUCCCACUAUUCUCUUAGCGGCUCUGCCACUAAUCGCAUUCUGGCCACAUUUUAUCUUUGCUAUUAUGCACCGUAUUUAUUGUUGCAAUCUGCGAGACUGCUACUAGGAUAUGCAAUUGCUCAAGCUCGCUUUAAUCUUACUUAAUUUGUGGACCCAUUCUGCCUUACACGUGAUUGGCAUCACUACUUUGUUUGUCGUUCUUCUAGCUGUAGUAUUAUUUAUUUUGUGGACCCACUCGUGCACCCACGUUUCGAAUACACAAUUUAACCGCAGCCGCUAAUCUUACCUAAUUUAUGUACGAUAAAAGCUCCGCCGUCGAUCCGUUAUACCUAAGUACCAACCAUGCAUUAUUAUUUGAUUAGCUACGUCACAAAGUCUUUGUUCGAAUAGUUAUCAAAGUUUGUUUGUGUGACUCAUGGAAUCUUUGUUGGCCAAUAAAAGGAUGCAUUUUGCUGUUUAAUAAGGCAAGCUCGAAAUAAAUCAAAUCUUAGUCAUACAAAAAUUCAAAUGAUAUGAGCCAUGAUCUCUUGCCAAGCUUCAGACAAGUUAAAUUAUAAGAGGAUCUUGAUAGGUUAAAUUAUGAACACACAUUUACGCUGUGUACCCAUUCAUGCAUCCCCGUUUCGAUUUUGCAAUUUAACGUAGCCGUUAAUCUUACCUAACCAUCUGUACGAGAAAAACUCCGCCAUUUGGCAGCCAAAGACUUGGUGCAGCCGGUUAACAAACAGUUGCACCAUAUUUUUUAAAAAAUAUAUAUUAAAAAUACAAUAUAAAAAUGAAAAAAUUAAAUAAAAUGUCAAAAAUAUUUUUUUAUAAUAUAAUUAAUAGCAAAAGAUAAAGAAAUUAAAUAAUAUAAUACAAACCCUAUAAUACAAUAUAAUAUAAUUAAAUAAAAUGACAAAAAAUAAAGAAAUUGAAAAUGAAAAAAAUAGUAUUUCAAGUUUAACGUCAGUUGUUGCAUGUCCGACGUCUCGAUUGCAUGUUUGACGUUAGAUGUUGCAUGUGUUGAAUAAAGCCAAAAUAAAGAAUAUUCUCGAAUAUUCUCGUCUGUUUCAUGUUUGACGUUGAAGUUGCGAACUUUACGUGAUAAAUUGCAUAUUUCGCGUGAAGUGUUACAAGUUUCAUGUUUAACGUCCGUUGCUGCAUGUCGGACGUCACGGUUGCAUGUUUGACGUAAUCUGUUGCAUGUCUUGAAUAAAGCCAAAAAAAGAAUAUUCCUAAAUAUUCUUGUCCGUUUCAUGUUUGACGUCGAAGUUGCGAACUUUACGUGAUAAAUUGCAUAUUUCGAGUGAAGUGCUGCAAGUUUUAUGUUUAACGUCAGUUCUUGCAUGUUCGACGGUUGGAUUUCAUGUUUGACGUACGAUAUUGCAUGUUUUGAAUAAAGCCAAAAUAAAGAAUAUUCCUGAAUAUUCUCGUCCGUUUCAUGUUUGACGUCGAAGCUGUAAAUUUUACGUGAUAAGUUGUAUAUUUCACGUGCAGUGUUGCAGGUUGCAUGUUUAACGUUCGUUGUUGCAUGUCCGACGUCCCGCUUGCAUGUUUAACGUUAGAUAUUGCAUGUUUUGGAUAAAGCCAAAAUAAAGAAUAUUCUCGAAUAUUCUGGUCCGUUUCAUGUUUGAUGCCGAAGUUGCAAACUUUACGUGAUAAUUUGUAUAUUUCACGUGCAGUGUUGCAGGUUGCAUGUUUUACGUCCGUUGUUGCAUGUCGGCCGUCCCGGUUUCAUGUUUGACGUUAGAUAUUGCAUGUUUUGGAUAAAGCCAAAAUAAAGAAUAUUCUCGAAUAUUCUCGUCCGUUUCAUGUUUGACGUCGAAGUUGCAAACUUUACGUGAUAAGUUGUAUAUUUCACGUGCAGCGUUGCAGGUUGCAUGUUUAAUGUCUGUUGUUGCAUGUCCGACGUCCCGUUUGCAUGUUUGACGUUAGAUAUUGCAUGUUUUGGAUAAAGCCAAAAUAAAGAAUAUUCUUGAAUAUUCUGGUUCGUUUCAUGUUUGACGCCAAAGUUGUAAACUUUACGUGAUAAGUUGUAUAUUUCACGUGCAGUGUUGCAGGUUGCAUGUUUAACGUCCGUUGUUGCAUGUCCGACGUCCCGCUUGCAUGUUUGACUUUAGAUGUUGCAUGUUUUGGAUAAAGCCAAAAUAAAGAAUAUUCUCGAAUAUUCUCGAAUAUUCUCGUCCGUUUCAUGUUUGACGUCGAAGUUGCAAACUUUACGUGAUAAGUUGUAUAUUUCAUGUGCAGUGUUGCAGGUUGCAUGUUUAACAUCCGUUGUUGCAUGUCGGCCGUCCCGGUUUCAUGUUUGACGUUCGAUGUUGCAUGUUUUGGAUAAAGCCAAAAUAAAUAAUAUUCUCGAAUAUUCUCGUCCGUUUCAUGUUUGACGUCGAAGUUGCAAACCUUACGUGAUAAGUUGUAUAUUUCACGUGCAGUGUUGCAGGUUGCAUGUUUAACGUCCGUUGUUGCAUGUCUGACGUCCGAUGUUGCAUGUUUGGGAUAAAGCAAAAAUAAAGAAUAUUCUCGAAUAUUCUCGUCUGUUUCAUGUUUGACGUCGAAGUUGCAAACUUUAAGUGAUAAGUUGUAUAUUUCACGUACAGUGUUGCAGGUUGCAUGUUUAACAUCCGUUGUUGCAUGUUUGACGUCCAGCUUGCAUGGUUGACGUUAGAUGUUGCAUGUUUUACAUAAAGCCAAAAGAAAGAAUAUUCUCGAAUAUUCUCAUCCAUUUCAUGUUUGACGUCAAAGUUGCAUACUUUACGUGAUAAAUUGCAUAUUUAACGUGACUUCUUGUGGGUUUCAUGUUUUACGUCUAUUGUUGCAUGUUGGACGUCGGGGUUGCAUGUUUGACGUUAGAUGUUGCAUGUCUUGAAUAAAGCCAAAAUAAAUAAUAUUCCUGAAUAUUCUCGCUUGUUUUAUGUUUGACAUCAAAGUUGCAUACUUUACGUGAUAUGUUGCAUGUUUGACGUAAAAUAUUAUAGGUUUCAUGUUUAACGUCAGUUGUUGCAUGUUGGACAUCAGGGUUGCAUGUUUGACGACUAAUGUCACAUGUCUUAAAUAAAGUAAAAAUUUUAAAAAUUUCCCGCCCGUUUCAUUCACACACACCUUUCCCAAAAUUUUAAAAUUUAAAAUGGCGGUUCACCAUUACCUGGAUGUCGGUUCGCCGUGUUUGUCUAGUAACUUUGCAAUUGCUAUUAGUUAACCUUUGCCCUUAACGGAUCUUUAUCUGCAAUCAUAUACCUCUCUGGAUGAUAUUGGUUCACCAUUAUCUAAAAAAAAGUUCACCGUUCUCUUCCAGAAUCGAAUAAGCAAAUACACUUCUUUCUGGAAGAUAUCGGCUAACCGUUAUCAAAUUAACGAUUCAUUGUUAUCUUGUACAAUUAAAUUAACAUGUUUCUGGAAACUGUCGGUUAACUGUUAGCUCAAUAAUGGUUCAUGUCACUGUCCAGAAUUUUAAACACUUUAAAACGGUGUACUAUUUAAAUAUUAAUUAAGAUAAUAUAUUAAUUAAAAAAUUAUGAAAAAAAUACAGUUAAUAGUAACAAAAAUAGAAUUUUAUAAAUUAUAAAUUUGUAAAACAUAAUAGAAAAUAAACAAAUAAUUUGCUAUGGAAUUGGAAUUAUCAAAUCUCUUGCGUUUUAAAAUAUUCAAAGCUCUUGUAAUAUUAUAGAGUUAUAUAUAUAGAGACAUGCGUGCGUGCGUGCAUACAUACACAUGAAUAUUUUGAUCUUAUGUUUGUGGUCAAACCCCAUUAAUUACUCAUUAGAUUCAUGUUAUUUUACUAAACUAGAUUUUAUUAAUAAAGAUACAUUAAAUUGAAUUAAAUUCAACUUAUACCCAAUAAUUAUAUUUGGGAAUUUAUCUAACUUACUAAUUUUUAUUUAACUCAUACACAUUAUAAAUGUGUUCAUUAAAUUACACAUAUAAAUUUAAUUGUCUAACUAUUUUUUACAUGAUUGAUAAAAUGAUGGCUUUAAAAAGAACUUGUAAUUUGAAAAAAAAAUCCAAUUAAUUAUAAUAAAAUUACAUAUCUAUCCAAUUUUUUCCUUAUUUUAGUCUAAUAAUAGUUUGAAAAAGAAUUUGAUAAUUCAAGUGAAAAUCACUAUUCUUAUUUGUUGCAUAAUAAUAUUUUUUAGGUGUAUUUUGUUUGAUUUUUUUUUAAAACAAACUAAUCAUGGUGGAUAUUUUAAAUUACUGAGUCACAAAAAUUCUAAGCUCAAUUGAAAUUUACAAUCGUUUAUCAAUGAAAAAAUGCUAGCAAAACAAAAAAAUAUUGAGGGAUAAAAAGAAAAUAUGGUAGAAAGAAAAAGGCAACAUCACUAUGAUCAUUGUUAUAAGAAAAAUAAAGCGAAAAUCUUCCCAGGGUAAAUCCAUAUGCUAAACAUCCAAAAUUGACGCCGUAGAAUUUCAAUAUCACCAAUAACACCCCCCAAACCUAAAGAUUGCAACAAAUUGAUGGCACAUUUGAGGGCUUAGAACCUAGUAUAUCUUAAAUCAUUUUGGAUUAAAUUAUAUCACAAUUUUUUCAUUUUUUUUAAUUGUGUGAAAAAAAACUACAGUACACUUAUUUCAAAAGAAAUUUGUUAAUGAAAAACAAAAUAAUGAAAAUCAAGAGCACUCAUUUAUAAGAGUAGGCUAUAAAAAGAAAAAAAAAAAUUAUUAUAAGCAUAAUCUCCCAAAAAAUAAAAGCAUCGUCAAAUUGAGUUACAAACUAAUUACAAUUUCAUUCGUAUUCGUAAACCAAGAGGUUGCGCAACAUCAAAAAGUUUCCAGUAAAACACUUAUGCCAGAUAAUUUAUAGAACCAAGCAAUAUCCGGUUGAAUUCUCCCCUGCAAAUAAUUAAAAAUUUCAAGUUAAUUGAUAAGAUAAAAAUAGCCGUUAAUCAUAAUAAGAAGCAACAGCAAAUCACAAUAAGAAGCAACAACAAAUUACACUAAAAAAUAGCAGGAAAAAAGCACCAAAACAACAAAUAUAACCAAGAAACAACAAUAAAAAAAUGCCCAAAAACAGCAGAAAAAGAUGCCCAAAACAGCAAUAAAAAUUACCCUAAAACAACAGUGAAAAAUGCCUAAAAACAACAUAAAUAAAUCCAAAACAAAAGUGAAAAAAUUGCCUAGAAACAAUAGACAAAAGCCCAAAACAACUAGAAGACUACCUAAAACCAGCAGAAAAAAUCUAAGAUAGUAGCAAAAUCUUCCACUGGUAAAGAAAGAUAUGAAAGAAAAGAAAUAAAACUCAUAAAGAGUUAAAGGUAACAUAAUGAAGGCUCAAAUCUGAAGCUCCAUAUGUAAGAACAAACAUCCCUAUACAAACACCCCUAUGCAUGUAAUAGUCAUAUAAAACAUAAUUACAAUUACAGUCCAUCCAGCAACUGUUUGCUUGUUUCAUUAUAAAUGUCUGCAAUAGUCAUAUAAAACAUAAUUAAACACUUAAGCAGAACCCAUAAGAUAAAGUACAAAAAACAUGGUAAAAGAAAUAAAUGUCACAGCAGAGUCCAGAGAGUAAUAUAUCAAAGAGUCCAGCUCAAUCCAACCUCCAUAAAUUUAAAUAUGAUGGUGAAAGGAUCAUAAUUCAAACACACUCCAAAGAGAUGUAAUUUACAUUAGAUAACACAGCUUUUCAUAUUCUGAUUAAGCACAUGCCAAGUUAAGAAUAUAUUUACUUUUGAAAUUAGGAAAAUUACCACACAGUGAAUUCAGGCACACCAAUCAGAGCAGCUAUUGAUCAAGCAAUACUAAAUUGCACCUCAUUAUUUGAAAAUUUACAAGAAUUGCAUAUUUUAAAGGUCUACAUGACCAAAUACAAAGGUUGCACAAUACCUUGAACUCGUUUUAUAAAAGGAUAACUGGCUGCUCCACCCUUUUUGGCAAGGCUGAGUUUAUUUCAAAGUGCCAACAUCAACAAGGUUUUGCCCACUAAUAGCCAGAGAACUCUGACUAAAUUGCAAUGAUACAUAAUCAAUUGAUGACUGAAGUGUGGAUAGAACUGGCACCUCAUCAGGUGGGACAUAUUUGAGAAUCAAUACAGAAAUAUAUAUAGAAAAAAGUGAUAAGAGAAAUAUAAAUACAAUUGAAAGGAACAAAUGGAUACCUCCUUGAUUCCCACACACAGGAGUCCAGUAACAAAAAGUACAAUAAUUGCAGCACAGGGAUCAACAAUAAUGUCAAGCCCAGGAAUUUCUUGAUGAGCCAAAAAGAAAGGAAGAAUGCACAACCUAUAAUCAUUAAUAACAACAACAUAAGAACAUAAACGUUUAAAUUGCAUAGGCAAUUGUAGACCUCCAUCAUAAAAUAUAUGAAUUCAAAUCAAUACAAAGAUGAUUAGUUGUCAAAAAGGUAACUCAUAGAAAAUAAGGGAAAGGAAAAAGUAAACAAGCUAAAUGAACAAACAAUACAAUUAAACCAUUCCAAUUUAGUUGAUAGUGCAAAACACAUAUGACUCAAUAGUAACAACUAAAGUAAAUAAAUAUACAAUCAAAGCUCGAUAAAAUUCACCAGACCAGAUUCGGGUAUAUGCCACGAGGAACAGCAGACCCGCCAAUUGUGUACUCAAGUAUCAGAGCUAGCCAAUCAACCACCUAACACUGCCAAAAUACAACAUCAACUAAGUUAAAUCAAUUUAUUAGACCAAAACAUUAAUAACGAUUACUAUGCCCCAGCUAAUCACUAGUUUAUCCCACUUUAGAAACAAGAUCCAAUUAUAUGAAUCAAUAAACUACAUCUCUAAGAAAUGACUAUUACGAGUUAUACCAGUAUUAAAGGUAACAAGGACUUACCCUUCUCCAACACAUAUGUAUGAAUAAUGAUAGGCACUCCCAGCAGAUGGCCAACGACUUGCAAGCUCAGCAUAGCAAAAGGCUGAAAAAGCAGAAGCUAUUCCAGCUAUAAGGAAACGAAAGGGUGAGUGCCGGUCCUGAAUGCUCUCUAGCAACUGUUCCAACAAGAAUAUAUGCUCCAGCCCCAAGUGUUGAGUCAACACCUAACCAGAGUUUGUACAAGAAAUAAAUAGUAAGAUCCAUCUUAAAAAAGAAAUUCCGGAAUUUAUUAUAUCACUGCCUAAUAAAGAAAUAUUGAUUAUAUGAACUGCAAUCAAAAACGAAAAUUUUUAGAGCAAAACCUAUCACAAUAAAUAAGCAACUAAUCCAAGCUCCAAGACCAUAGUCUACCCAAAACACUUAGCCAUUUAAAGAGAGGGGAGGGGGAAAGCCUAAUAAUCACACACACCCAUCAUGAAAUCUUGAGUUUCCUGACGAGAAUCUAACAAAAUGCUCAAGAACACUUAAAGCCAUAGAAAAAAAAAUAUAAAAUUAAAUUCAAGAUCUGUUUCAUAAGAAUUUAACCAAAAAUCCAAAUUCUUAGAUAUUCAAUAUGGAAAGCAAAAACCCAUAUUCUUAAAAAUUAGAAAUUUAACCAAAAUAAAAAAGAUUUAGAAAGAAAAAUAUCUUUUGUUCAUUACGAGUCAUCUUCCCAUUGAGCUCAUGUAGGAUUUUGAGAGAGAGAGACCAAAUUUGAAAAAUUAGUGCUUUCAGAGAGAAAUGCAAAUUCCAAAAAUAAGAAAUAAGACAAAAUAAAAUAUAAAAAAAAUACCUUUUAUUCAUUCGGCGUUGCUCCCCAGCGAGCUAAUGUACGGCUUCAGGAGAGAAAGAUCAAGUUUGAAAAGUUAGGGCUUUGAAGGAGAAAGCCAAAUUUUAAAAAUUAAAAAUUUAAUAAAAAAGAAUACCUUUAUUCAUUCUGAUUCAUGCCUCCCACUGAGCAAUGUAGGGCCUGAAGAGAGAUAUCAAAUUUGAGAAUGAAAAAAUUAGAGAUAUCAAAUUUGAGAAUGAAAAAAUUAGGGCUUGAACAUAGAUAGGCCAAUUUUGAGAAUGAAAAAUUUAGGGAUUUGAGAGACCGAAUUUGUCAACCAGAGAUUUCAGAGAGAAAAUAUCAUCGUUGAGAGAGCGAUUAGAUUUUAGAAUGGAAAAAUUUUAGGGAUUUGAGAGACGAAUUUGAAAAAAAAAAGGAGGAUUUAAAUAAAUGAUAGGUGUAUUAUUACCUAUCAAUCAUGACAAUAUCUUAAUCUGGUUUAGUUCAACUUAUAAAAUUUCUUGAGAUGUACAAGAGAUCUUUUUGUUUACUUUUGAGUUAAGUAUUUUUUUA
RNAcentral lists this long non-coding RNA (83984 nucleotides) under Citrus maxima (pomelo). RNAcentral describes it as "long non-coding RNA (CMAX_LNC001232)". Lineage: Eukaryota; Viridiplantae; Streptophyta; Magnoliopsida; Sapindales; Rutaceae. The record is from RNAcentral.